Molecule: long non-coding RNA, 53893 nt
Filed under: Vitis vinifera (wine grape)
Lineage: Eukaryota; Viridiplantae; Streptophyta; Magnoliopsida; Vitales; Vitaceae
Description: long non-coding RNA (VVIN_LNC001392)
Source: RNAcentral
CUACUCUUGGGGGUAGAGUUGGUGUCUUGUGUUUUGGUGGUGGAGGUGGCUUAACAGGAGUUGGUGGCUUGUAUUCUGGGGGUGGUUUCUCCACCGGAGGUGGCUUAUAAACUGGAGUUGGUGGCUUGUAUUCUGGGGGUGGCUUCUCCACUGGUGGUGGCCUGUAAACAGGGGUUGGUGGCUUAUAUUCUGGGGGAGGCUUCUCCACUGGAGGCGACUUAUAAACAGGGGUUGGUGGCUUGUAUUCCGGGGGUGGCUUCUCUACGGGAGGUGGCCUGUAAACAGGGGUUGGUGGCUUCUCCACCGGAGGUGGCUUAUAAACGGGGGUUGGUGGCUUGUAUUCUGGGGGUGGUUUCCCCAGUGGUGGAGACUUGUAAACAGGAAGAGGUGGUUUGUGCUCAUAUGGGGGUGGCUUGUGGUCAUUAGCAAGUGAGGGAGUGGUGAGGACCACCAAUCCAAGGAACAACACGAGUGAGCAAGCAGAAGACAUGUUUGGGCUCUGGUGAUGCACAAGUAGAAGAAAUGGGAACCAUUUAUAAUGCUUCGAGACCUUGGUUAGCACCAAAAUAUGUCAAAAUCUUGAUUACUUCAUUUCAUACAUAGAUUUAAAAUUAUUUCAAUCAACCAUGAUCCUUAAUUUUCUGGGUGGUCCAUAAAUGUAAUGGGGUCAAUUUGGGACCUAACAAGCUGAGAAGUUUGACAAUGCUGCAAGGCUUCAUCCGAAAGUCCGGGGAAGAAUAUUAGGAGUUACACUCCGUUUCCUUUUUUGGGUGCAUUUUUCUCCUUUAACAUUCUAUUCCCUUUUACAUUAGCAUUUGAUCUUAGCUCAUUUCAAGUACAAGUUUCUUGAACCCUAUACCAUUGUCAAAGUUGAGUAACCAUCUCUACUUUGCUCAAGAAACAUAAAAGACAAUGACAAUAAAGAAAAAGGAGAGAGACCAUACGUGACUUGGUUUAUAGGUGGCUUUGUGUUGACAUUUGAGUAUGGAAGCCGACAUGCAUCUUAGCUUCGAUUUUAAUUAAAUUUGUACAUUAGUGUCUGUGUCAUUCAUUUUGGUAUAAAAGGUCUCUUGAUUUCGUAAGUUUGGUAAGAACCGUUGAAAAUAGCAGUAGCAGCACAUGGUCCACUUUCUUUCACAAAAUAAUUUUAAAAGUUUAGAAGCAUAGGAGGUAACAUUAGUGGCCUUGUGGCUCAGCCACGAGUACUAUGUGGUGCUCGAGAAAUUGAGUUUAAUUUCCUUCCGAUAGUUCAUGAUAAGGUCCGUCACUGUCCUGAGACAGAUUGCGUUUUUUCUUUUUUCCUUUUUUAGUGUUUUAUUGACUAGCUAGGUGUGACUUUUCCUACUUUAAGGCACGAGGCAGAAAAGAAACUGGGAUUUAGUGCUUAAGAAGGCAAAUUUAAUUCGAUUUGGAUCUAAAAUUUGCCAGCAACAUGAGAUUUUCCAGCCUAUCGUUGCUCCACAUAUAGACAAGGCACUUGUAGAAGUGGCUUGUUUGUAGCCAUUCCCGAUAUUUGGACUCACUUGAUUCACCGGACACUUUGAUAAAAUUUAAUAUUUAUUAUUUAAUAAUUUAAAUUGAUUUAAAAUUAAAUUAUACCGAAGUUGUGAUUUAAAAAUUAUUAUUUAAUUCUUACUUUUAAAUAUGAAGAUUAUUUGAUAAAAAUAAUUUAAAAUUUAUUAUAAAUUAUCAAAUUAACAUAUUUAUCCUUAUAAAUUAUAAUUAAAACAGAAAAGGUCAAAUGAUUUGAGUAUCCAUAGAUGUGGUAAAAUAAUAAAAAAGAUUAUAAAAACAAUUAUGAUAAAUAAAGAUAAAAAGUAAAAUGAAUAUGUGAAUUUAAAGAAUAAAUUAAUUAUUUUUAUUUAUUACUUAAAAUUAUUUUUGACUUUAAAUUAUAUUAUUAAAUUAUUUUACCAAACAUACUUAAUUUAGUUAAUAAUUUAAAUUUAAUUUAAGUUAUUAAAUUGAUUCACCAAAUACCCACUUAAUCAAAGACUGAAGUAUACAUUAUUUGGCCAAAUGCAGCUAUUGAAAUUUAACUUUUUCCAAACUUAUUCAUUUUGUGGAAAUAUUUUUAGAAAUGAUUUUAAAAAUGCACUAUUCUGUGUGUUGAUUUUAUAUUUUGGCAUUAAUCCAACAUAGAAAACGGUUCUUAUUUUCGCUGUUAAAUAGGUACCAGAUCCUUAAUUAGUGCCGUGAAUCCGGCAGCUUCCAAUGAGUAAUUUGGACUUGGGUAUUGACAAUGUGUGGCCAUGCUUCUACUAUUUUAUUAUUCUUGAAACAUAUAUGAUAUAUUGGACUUUAUACAGGGAAAAAAAAAAAAAAAAGUCUUCACCAAAAAUGAUUCCUCCUAAAAAAUAGACUCCACAAACUAGGUUUAACAGGAAAAUGAUUCUAAUCUAGUAGUUUCCAGCCACAUGAGCAUUUACGUAACAAUAGUAUAGUUGAUAACGACUUUUAUUUUAUUUAUUUUUAAAUAGUUAAAGGGAUAAUUUUUGAGCUUAAAUUUUAUUUUUUUAUUUAGAAACAUUUUACUUUAUUUUUUAAUCAUAAUUCUAUUAUAUUAAUGUUUUAUUUUCUAUUUUUUAAUAUAUAAGGAGAUACUAAAUUUAUGUGAUUAUUUUUUAAAAAUUUAGUAUAUGAAAUUAAAUAAUUGGAUAUAUAUACAUAUAUCAUAUAAUGUUUUUUAAGUGUGAUUUUUGAACUUUUUAGUCAUUUUAUAAGUUUAAGCUUUUGAUUUUUUUUUUUAAACUUUGGUAUUUUUUAUUUUAUAUAAAACUAUUUUGAUUUAAUUUUAUUAAAAAAUAUUGGUAUUAUAAAUUAUUGUAUUAAUUAUUUUUUUAUAUUAUAAUGUAACUGGUAUAUACUAAAAAAUGUAUGCAAGUUCAAUUUAAGUUUCAAAUUAAAAAAUUUCAUUUAAAUAUUUAAUAACUUGUUCAUAAUAAAAAAUUAAACAACAUAAUACAAAUGAAAAGAAACAUAAAAGAAAAAGGAAAAAAUGGUCCUCUCUGUGUGUCACAUUACUAGGUCAUCCUCUUUUUCUAUGACCCUUACAAUAGAAUGGCAUAUUUGUCAAAUCUACUUAUGAAAGUUGGAAUGUUUCUACAUGUGUAGGGUCCAUUGGAACUAAUGGAGGAAAGGCUUAACGUCUAUGUAAAUCACAACGUUGCCUAGGUGGGCAUAGAUCUAGUUGUGUAACAUGAGAUGGUGUGAGAGUACAAUAUAUGCAUUGUAGUCUCUAUGGGAAGAGAGAUAGGUAAUGGUAGGGUGGUAGACGGUAGGGUGAUCUCUAAUAUAAUGACAUUUGAUGUGGUGGCUUCUAAGAGAGGAGAUAUAAGAGAUGGUAGAAUGACAUUUGGUGUAAUGGUCUCUAGUGCAAUGACAUGUGAUAUGGUGACCUAUAAAGAAGAGAUAUAGGUGAUGGUGAAGUGGUAUGUGGUGUAGUGACCUUUGAGAUAGAAAAUAGAGGUAAUGGUAGGUUGGCAGGUGGAGUGGUCUUUGGUGUAGUGACAUCAAUUAUAAAUGUCUCCAAGGGAGGAAAUAAAGGUGAUGGUAGGUAGUAAAUGUUGAGGUGGUCUUUGAUAUGUUAUGCUCUAAGAGAGAAGGUAUAGGUAAUGAUAAUAGGGAAUUUGACAUAGUGGUGUUGGAAAUAAAAAGUGAAAGUGACCGUAGAGGUGAAAGGGCAAGUGUAAAAGCCUCAAGUACGAAUGGAGUAAUUAAUGUGGAUGGUGCUAACAUAGUCUUAGGUGGAUACACAAAUAGUCAUAGUCAUCAACUAGCUUGCCCACCAUCUGUCUUUCUGCUAGUGAUAGGUUACAUCUUAAUAGUAAUGGCCAACAUAAGUGGUGUGGAUCCGAUUUUUUUACGUGUGUCCCCACUCAAUCGACAAGACUUAUUUUUUAUUAGUGAAAAAUUAAUUUUGGAAAAGUUGGAGUCACCACUUAUUUUAUUUUAUUUUAAAAAGGAAAGUAAAACAAGAAAGAGAACUCUAAAGAAGUGACUUCAUAGUUUUGGAAAAGUUAGUCUUAAAAAAUCCAAGUCUUGGUCCGGAGAUCAGGUUACUUAUUGGGAAGAUACCUCUAAGAGGUAAUACCCCUCUAAACCCUAAAGAAGUCUCUAAUGACUAAGUUGAGGAGAAUGUGGUAAUUAAUUAAUUGAUUGAGGGUACCUAGGUAGACUAAGGUGAUUUCAGAAUUAACAUACCAAGCUAGAAAGUCCAAUCAUGAUCAUAAAAGAGAGUCAAAGUAUGUACCUGAACUGCUUCUCAAACGCUAUCAUAAAACAUCAAAGUUAGUAUAGAAAUAUAACACAUAAUAUUUGUUUUAUCCAAGCAAAUAAAGCAUACAUCUAAGCACCCAAGAAUCACAUCAAGUAUGGAUAUAGUCAUCAAUAGCAUACGUGUCCAUAGAACUAUCGAAAGUAAAUGUGGAGGAGCGUAUCUGGACAACAUAGAUAACUUAUAAUGUGCUUCCACAAGACAUGGGGGUUAGAUAAAAGUUAUAAUAAUAAUUAGUAAAUGAAAGAAUUCUAGCAUGUUUGGUAUCUAAAUAACAUAGCAAAAAUGAACAAGAGUACACGAAAACAUCAAUUAUCACACGAGUCAUAUUGGCUAGUAUUUAAUCAAUAAACCAACAAUAAAUGACUAUAAACAUAUAAAAUGACAUAUUCAAAGAGACCCAAACAUAAAGAGCCUAGAACACAAGCUUACACUAAAUUUAGAAAACUAAAACAUGGAAUUUUAAAAGCAUAAAUUAGCAAACAAAUUGAUGGAAACUAAAUUUAGAUAACUUAAGAAUAUUUUUCUUAUCCUUCAAUUUAAAUCAGUAAGCCAACAAUAAAAAAUUAUAGAAACAUGGAAUAUCAAGAUCAAUGGGAUACCUAAACUAUAAUUUUUAAAAGAAAAUAAACUAAGCAUAAUAUCUACAAAGCAACUAAACUAACAUUUUUUUAAAAAUAAAUUAAACAUGACAUUAAUGGAGUAACCAAACUAAAUUAAAGUAAACUAAAAACAUUUAUGAAUUUUCAAACAUGGAAUCAGCUUUCUUAGUAAAUUAAAAUUAUUAAAAUAAAAUCUAAGCUUAAAAAUGAAUUAAAUACUAACUAAAGCAAAUCUAAAACCAAAUAUUUAACACAUAGGAUCAAUUAUAUUAACAAACUAAAAUUUUAUAAGAACACUUAAACCUAAAGUUGAAUUAAAAACUAACCAAUUUUUAAAACUAGAUCUUUAACCCAUAGGAUCAAUUAUAUUAACAAAUAAAUAAUAAAUAAUAAAUAAAUAAAACUCAAACCUAAAGAUGAACUAGAAAUGUACCAAAGUAAAUUCAAAACAAGAUCUUUAACACAUUAGAUCAAUUAUAUUGACUAACUAAAAAAAAAAAAAAAAAACACUCAAACCUGAAACGAUGUAUUAGAAACUAACCAAAGCAAAUUUAAAAUAGAGUCUUUAACACAUAGGAUCAAUUAUAAUCACUAACUUAAAUUACAAUUUUUGAAACAUGAACUAAUUAGUGUUGGAUUAAUUAAACUAAUUAACUAAAAAAAACUAUAAACUAGAAUACGGUGAAUCAAGAAUUCAAAUCAACAAACAUAAAAUAUGGGUACAAUGAAAUGAAAAUCUAUUAAACUAAUAAGACGGAAAUAUGACAAACUCAUGAACCCACAUUUUGAUCAACUAGGAAAUAGAAAUUAAUAGACCUGUAGCAUGGAUACAAUGAAAUGAGAUCAGUUAAAUUUAUUUGCCGAAAUUCUAAAAAACACAUACACUCAAAUAAGAUCUAAAUCUAAGACCAAGCAAAACUCAAACUUUCUCAAUCUAAUGCAAUGAAUCAAAACUAAAAUUAAAUAGAAAUCAAACCAUUUUUUUUUUAUCUAAUAUAAUAAAUCAAAGCUAAAACUAAACAAAAUCGAAUUUUCUUAAUUUAAUAUGAUGAGUCAAAGCUAAAAUUGAACAAAGUUCAAACCUUUAUAUAAUGGAUCAAAGUUAAAUCUAAAUGAAAUCCAUACUUCCACAAUUUGAUAUAACAAAUCAAAAAUAAAACUAGAUAAAAAAAAAGUCAAAGCCUUUCAACUUGACAUAGUGAAUCCAAACUGAAACGAAACAAAAUUUUAACUUUUCCAAUGAAACCCAAUAUAGAAAAAAUUAGCUUACCUUCUUUAGAAUAUAUGUAUGGGCCAUAAAGAAGUCACCUUGGUGCAUGUGUUCCUCACUUUGACGCCAAUGGACGACUUUCUAUGGUAGCAAAUGGAGAUCCUUUUUGGUGGUAACUUGCGUGUGGAAACCUAUGGUACAACCAAUGUCAUCUUUUAUUGUGCGUGUGGACCAAUUUCUUCUCGAGAACUCAUGUGUGUUGUGCUCAAAAUAUGUUGCCUGUGAGAAUCUAUUGGUAUACCCCACAUAUGGUUUCCUUGAGAGAAUCUGUGGUUGUGUGUGGGCGUUUUCUUCAUGACAGCAUGUGGAUGUUCCCAUCUAUGGUAGAUUGGUUGUGAUGCUUUAGUGCAUGGUCUCCAUAGGAAUAGUGUGUUAUGGAAAUUUGGUUUUUUUAUUGGUGCAUGUUGUCUAGACUUUCCCAUAUGCGUGGACUGUGUGUUCAUGCUUUUCUUUUCGGAUGGUCGCCUGUGUUAAUGUGUGGCGGUGUCUACAAUGAAAGAUACAACCCUUUCUCUCCUUCUGCGUGAUAGAAAAGUCAAUCCCCCAUGGUGCGACUAUGUUCCCUCGUCCUUUUUGAAAAAUUUUGGUGUUUUCCCCCCAAAAAAUCCCCUCCAAAAAUCUAAUUAUAAAUGUCUGCUUUGGCCUAAUGUGUGUGCUACUUUUUUUUUCCUUCUUUUUAUGGUUGUGCGUGCUUUUCUUGAUACGUGGCUUAUUUCUUAAGGAUAUGAUUCGCUCCCAAUUGGUGUCUCAGCUGAUUCAUGUCCUUUCAAUGGUCCCUGACAGUGGUGCCAUUUGAUUCGUGUCCAGCUGGUGUCCCUUGAUUGUGGUCCUCAGAAGGGAGUAAUCAAUAAAAUUUAUAACCUAUUACACCAUGUAUUAGGAUAGCCUUAGCUAGCAUAGCAUAGUGGCUCUAGGGUCGUUUAUUGGGAUGAGUUUUCACUUCACAAUUGAUAUUAAUUCAAGAGCUGAAUUGGUGCCUUUUCAUUUCAAGGUUAGCUUUAAAAGAAAACAUAAUCUUUGGUGGAAAAAGGUUUGGUUUUAAACUAACCAAAAAUAGUAACUGAUUUUACUUACAAAGAAAAGUGUUCUUUGGAGUUUAGAUCACUAGGCUCAGGUUCCUCAUACAAAAAGGAGAGUUCCGAUCAUUUGUUUCUUUUCCUCGCAUUAGAGAAUUAACAUAUAGUUAAUUCUCUAACCGGUGCGGUACAUAUGCUUCCCAUUAAUGGGUUCAAACACUAAAUACCUCUCACUGAUGCACCUUGCAAUGGCUCGUGCCUCUCACCUAGCAUUUAUCAUUCAAGGUGAUCUUUAACCUUGGAUUACCCAUCAAAAGCUCGCAAGAGAUAACUAAAGGAUGUCUCCUUAGAGUCCAAAAGCUUACCAAGUGUUGGUUAUUCUAGAAAAUCCUACCUUCAAACCACCUCCCAAAGGCUCGCAAGAGAUAAACAAGUGCAUCUCAAUGGAUGAAGAUCACUUGCCUUACCAAGUUUUGGCCCAGAUGAUUUAAUGACAUUUUAAGUUAACUAAAAAGAUAAAAACCAUUAACGGGUCACACUUUCUCUUCAUUAAAAACUAAAACAACAAAACUUCCAAUUUAUGCAUGAGGAAACUUACCUGGCUUUCUUCACUUCAAGAGAUGAAGAGCCUAGCCACUCAUCAUUUGAGGAAAAAUCCUCAGAGUUUGAUUUGCUAGAAAUAAAAAUAAUGAGAAAACAAAAAUAUAUAUAUGAAAAACAGAGCAAGUUCUCUGUAAUAUAUUUUUCUUCCUUAUACAAAAGGUUGUCUCUAAGAACAAGUUCCCGAGAUCUAUCUGAUUGUAAAUAAAAUUACAACUAUAUAUAAGAGGUUAUUCACCCCUUUGUUCUUUCUUAAAGACUAAGGAAUCCUAUGAUAGGUGGGUUACAAGGAGAGUUUGGGGAUUUAGACAUCAAAUAUCUAAAGCAAAAUAUCUCAAGAUGUUAGUCGGAAAUAUCAGGAAGCUUCAGGAGAACACCGCGACACUGUAUACUGAGAGAAAAACUCUCCGGGUAAGCUCUAUCAAAGGAUCCAGACAUGUCUGACUGGGAAAGUUGAAACGUCCUUCUCUCCCAUCCGGAUGUGAGAUAUCCGGAGAAAGUGAAAUGUCGGUCGGACAGAAUUCUUUCCCCGGGUGGAAUGAGUUGUGUUGCGCGUCGCAAGGGGGACCGUCUGCGUGUACAAGUUGUAGGGACCCCUCUCCCGGAUGACACCGAGCGCGUAAGGCUAUCCGGAUCAACUCCAUUCGGAUUCCCCAAGAGGACAUGUGGCGUGCUCCCCUAUCAGGACUCCCUUAGGGAGAAGCACACGACACUCGUGAACAUCAUACCCGGACGAUAGCAUGUCCUAUCCGGAUGUGUUGUCCGGAUCAUUGACUAAAGUGAGCAAGCCUUGCUACGUCAUUCGGACAGCUUGCCACAUACCAUGUUCCGUCGCCAUCUGAUGGUGUGUCCGAACGCCUUGUCCGGACAUCUUUUGCUCCUUGCAUUCCGGAUUUGCUUAUGACAAAGGACUUCAAAGCUUCGGUUCUUCAUGUUUCUGAGCUUUCCAUUGCUUUGCCAUGGAUUCCAAAGAACUCUCCUUAAUCACGGAUUGCUUUGGUGAUCAAAAAGUUAUCAAAACACAAAAACUUAACAUAGUUUGAUUAGAAUUGAUUGCAAGGGUUCUUAAUAUGUUAAUUGGGUUAAAAGGUGAUAACUACUACUCAAAAGUGUUUAUAAGAAUUAAUUACAAGCUAUGAAAUAACACUUUUUGAGUAGUAAUCAGGAUACAUCCUAGUUUUUCAUGGAAUUGAUAGUGGGUUGUUGUGCAUGAAUGCCACCAUUUCAACUAUGCUGUUGUUAUUUUUAAAAAAAAUAUGGAUUAUGCGCGAGUGGCAAUUCUCCACUAUGGAAAGUGGAUUGCUCCUUCAACCCAUGCAUGGCUACGUAUUCCUAUGUCUUUCUACUUGUGUUUGAUCCUCCAAAAAAAAUUUCGGUUUAGUGCUAGUAGAUUUUAAGUGGUGGAUCCCCAUUUUUUGAAAAUGAAGUGGCAGCCUCCCAUUUCAAGACAAAAUGGUAGCCUGCCUUUAAUCUUUGGAGAAAAAUCUGUGCAUGACCUUUUUUUUUCCCAAAAAAUCCGUGCAUGGUGUCCUUUAAUAUUUGGAGAAAAAUCUAUGUUGGAUCUUUUCUUUUCUAGAAACAUUUGUGUGGUCUUUUUUGUUAGCCCAAGGGUUCUUCUAAUCAAGUUUUGAUGAUAACAAACCAUGGUUAAGUGACUAAUUGGUUUAAUGAUUAAGAAUCUCAAACAUAAAAUCGAAAAUUCAUCAAAGGACCAAAUGGAUACAAGAUCGAGACGCUUGGAAGACUUGUAAUCAUAGGAAACUAAUGUAAGAUGAAUGCAUGAGUGCACUUAGGAUUUUCACACGUUUCAUGCAACUUAGAAAACCCAGUUUAUUCUUUAAAACUUCAUCCCAGUUUAUUCUUUUUAUGGUUGUGUGUGCUUUCCUUGAUACGUGGCUUAUUUAUUAAGGAUACAUCCCAGUUUUUCAUGGAAUUGACAGUGGGUUGUUGUGUGUGAAUGCCACCAUUUCAACUGUGCUGUUGUUAUUUAAAAAAAAAAAAAAUGGAUUGUGCGCGAGUGGCAAUUCUCCACUAUGGAAAGUGGAUUGCUCCUUCAACCCAUGCAUGGCUACGUAUUCCUAUGUCUUUCUGCUUGUGUGUGAUCCUCCAAAAAAAAUUUUGGUUUAGUGCUAGUAGAUUUUAAGUGGUGGAUCCCCUUUUUUUGAAAACUAAGUGGCAGCCUCCCAUUUCAAAACGAAGUGGUAGCCUGCCUUUAGUCUUUGGAGAAAAAUCUGUGCAUGACUUUUUUUUUCCCAAAAAAUCCAUGCAUGGUGUCCUUUAAUAUUUGGAGAAAAAUCUAUGUGGGAUCUUUUAUUUUCUAGAAAAAUUUGUGUGGUCUUUUUUGUUAGCCCAAGGGUUCUCCUAAUCAGGUUUUGAUGAUAACAAAUCAUGGUUAAGUGACUAAUUGGUUUAAUGAUUAAGAAUCUCAAACAUAAACUCGAAAAUUCAUCAAAUGACCAAAUGGAUACAAGAUCGAGACGCUUGGAAGACUUGUGAUCAUAGGAAACUAAUGUAAGAUGAAUGCAUGAGUGCACUUAGGAUUUUCACACGUUUCAUGCAAUUUAGAAAACCCAGUUUAUUCUUUAAAACUUCAAUUUCAUUAAAACCCGAGUUUUUAACUAAUGUACCUUAGGCAAAAUGUUUUAUAAUUGGCUUAAUAAUUCACCUAAAUACAUUUUCUAAGUGUUAGAAAAGAAAGGAAUUAAAAAAAGGUUUUCGGGGCAAAAAAGGCUCAACCGGUCGAGGCUAUGGUCAACCGGCUCAACCGGUUGAGGAACCAAUCGAUCGGUUGUGCUUGUCCGAUCGAAGACCAAUCGAGGGAUGCCAAAAAAUUUCUCUCUCUCCUAGUGGCCUUCUCUUCCCGGUCGAGGUUCGGUCUAGGCAACGGUAACAUGUCAAGCAUUAAAUGCUCCGACGACUAGUGAAUCGGUCGACCCCUAGCCCGAUCGGACGAGGUUGCCUUUUGCUGUUUUUGACUCCCGAGCUUAGAAACCUAUAAAUUGAGAGCUCCACUUCAUUUAUUGAUAAAAGAGAACACUUGCAUUCAAUAGUCUACCUACCUUUUCUUGAUCAAAAAGCUCUCAUUUCCUUCAUAGUGCAUUAAAUCAUCACUUGCAUAUCCUUUAGUGCACUAUUGUGUGUCAUCCUAGCUUUGUUUUGUAUUUGAGCUAUCCUUAAGCUAGGUUGAGGGAUUAUUUCUUAUAAAAAUCUGAGUGUUAAAGCCUUCAAGAGAUUUGAAUCUUGAAGAGAUUGUGUAAGAGCCCAUUGGAGCCGGAGUCCAAGUGUAAGAAGAUUGGAAGCUUGGUUGAAGCUUCAAGUUAGUGGAACCCUCACUCGGUUAGGAGGUUGAGGAGAGUGGACGUAGGUAAGGAAGUGUCGAACCAUUAUAAACCCGAGUUUGAAUUCUCUAACUCUAUCUCUUUAUUUUGCUUAUAUUGUGUUUGAAUUUGUUGUGAUUGAAAAGAUUUUAAAAACCUAAUUCACCCUCCCCCCUUUUGGGUUUUUUUUUCUUAAUUAAGCAUAACCUUUGUUUUCUAAUUUUCUUUUUAGGAAAAUCCAUGCGUGGUAUGUCCAAACUCUCCAAGUGGCAGUCUGCCUUCUUCUAAAAAAUUUGUUUCUAUUUCUUUAUUCGACUACCUUCCAUGUCUUCCUAAUGAGUGCUUGUGCUCAAUGGUCAAUCCCUGGUGGUUGCCUCCUUUUCCCAUAUAUACGUGUUGCAAAAUCAACAUCCCACUAUAUGUGGGUUGCCUCUAUGGCAAGUUCACAUUUCCCACAUGAAACCUAUGAGUUUCCACCAAAAAUUGCCAUGAAAAAGUCUUUAUAUGCAUCUCAUGCAAUAAAAAGUCAAGCCAAUACUCAUCUUAUCUCGAAAAAUAAGUAACCAAAAUCAAGAUCAUGCCUAAGUGAACUAUGCCAAAAGAAGUGUCCAAGUGACCUAUUAUGAAAAAAGUGCCUAAGUGACCUAAGGUGAAUGUGUGUAAGCUGGAAGGUGUCUAGGAUGUUUAGGACAAUGCCUAAGCCUAAAAUAGGGUUGCCAAGGGUCACAAUGGGGUUAGAUAAAUCUCUCAAUCAGAGUCUCCAAGGUGGCUCAUAAAAGAUAAGCUACACGAGUAAUGAUGGGCCACCAGGGAAUUAUUGUAAAGCACCAAACGAACACAUAAUAGGACAUGUGUUAGAAUGAAAAAAUGGAGGGUUUACAAGUGGUCUCAUGGAUGAGCUUGAUAAUUUAAAUGACUCACAUAAUGAACGUAUGUGAUGUUUCUCUCCAAUAACAAGCAAAACAUCACUAGCAAUAUGAUGAAUGUCUCCUAAAUCACUUGAAGUAGUCCUAGCAAAUCAAUUAGAAAAAUCACACAUAUUGCUCUAAUGUAAUAUUAUAUACAUCUGUCAAUGAAUGGGAGAACUAAUGACACAACCAUCAUGUUGAUAUCUCGAACCCUCUAAUCUCAUAUGUAGGUGGGAUCACACUUAGAAACUCAUAACACAGUAAUGACCAAUCUAAGUCAAAAUGUGUUGGUGAUCGGAGGCCCAUGAAUAUGAAGUUCUAGGAUGAUAAUGACAUCUUAUAAAGUAAUGAUCAUCUCCUUAAUAGAUAGGUGAAAUGUGUGUGUCUUAGGACACCAUCUCUCAACAAGACUUGUGAUCAAUCCCCAGUCUAGUGUAACAUGCCUAUUAUGACAUCCAUCGUAAAAUCUAGACUAGAUAAUAUAAGGACAAAUGUGAGGGUUCAUCUCCCUUUCCCACAUAAAUUUAAAAAAUUAUUAUUGACAAGUUAAGACCAAACUAAGUUGCAAAAUAUAAAUAAGUCCAUUAGAUAACAAAUUUAUGUUUUCUCAUUUUCUCAUUUUUAAAGAGAUAUUAUGUGCUUCCAUGUACAUACAUGCUAAAGUCAAUUAUACGAGACUUAUAUCCAUCUUGUAGAACCAAAUCGAACCUAUCUAAUAGAUCCAGAUUAGAAGUAUGUCCUCUAUACUCCAUAUUUAUAACACAUUUAUAAAGAUAAAUGCUAAAAAAAUGUUAAAGAUAUAAAUUUAAUGAACCAUACUUUAUGAUUUUAAUUCUCAAUUAUUGUUCAUAUUUAUAAGAGAAAAGUUAAAAAAAUUGAUAGAGUUUUCCCUCUAUCAUGGACAUUAUCCCAAAUAAAAAUAAAUUGAUUAUGCAAAUUACAUUAAUAUUUGUAACCAAAUGAUCAAUAACUAUCUUGUAUCAAUUUAGUAAAUAAAUUUAAGUAUAUCUUUUCAUUUAUGACUAACAAAUAACUCAUACUUGUCCAAUAAAAGCCACACCUAAUUUCUAAAAUUUUGUCUUCACCUCAAGUGAGUGUUACAUUGAGAAAGAAAAAAUAUGAAAGAAAAAAUGAACACCUUUUUCUUUUAAUAAAAAAAGGCCAUAACGAAACAUUAAAUCUCACUGUUACACCUAUCUUCAAUGGAAACAUGAGGAUGUGAAUGGUGGCGGUGAUAUUCUUUGCUUGAAGCUCAUAAACAAAUAUUCCUUACUAAGCCUAUGCCAUUUAGUAUUUCAAUAGUGGACCCCCCCCCCCCCCCCCCCCCCCUCCUUGCAUUUCAGAUUUAGCAAACUUAGAACCAAAUAACAAAGUGCAUUUGAACCCAUAAAGAAGUAAUGAGACUCUCCUAUAUUGGCAAUAGAAGAAAUUUUUGGAGGUAUAGGAGAUUCACGGAUGAAGAAGUUGGGCCCCAAUUGAGAUAAGACCCAAGAAAAGAUGGGGUAGAGAGGGAUGGUUGGAAAUUGUAAAGUAAGAUUUUCAAAAUGUAGUUGAUGACUAAGAUUUUGACAAUUUAAAAAAGGUUUAAAAAUGUAGUUAGCAAUCGGGGUUUUGUAACAUUUAAAAAAUAAAAUAAAAUCUCAGGCCACAUGGUAGCCCAUGUGAUUCAGAAGCUUGAGAAUUAUUUUAUAAGAAGACUUAAUUUGUGAUUUUUUUAUAACUAUAUUAUUUUUUUUCUUAACACACGAAAAAAAUUAUGAAAUAAGACAAUUUUCCUAAGAAAGCAUGUAAGUGACUCUUGGUUAUUUUAUUUAACUUCUUCUAGUUUGGAGAGGAUUAAUACCUUUGCUUUUACUCACUUGCUUGGAUAUGUACACGUUGUUCAUGUCACUUUUCAUUUAAUUUUCUGAUUAAGGGAAUUGGAACCGUACGUAACUGUCUUUAUUCCCUCUGAAACUUGGACUUGGAGUUGGACUUUCAAUCUCAUCAGUCGUGUUUCCAUAAAAAAGAAGAUGGAUUAACCAAUUUUCCUAUGCCUACUAAUCAUACACAAAACUCCACUUCCAAAUAAAAAGGAAUGGGAUAUCACUUGUUAAUAGUGGCUAAAGACUAUUAAUAACCAUGCAAAGAAAUGUCACAUUUUUUGUUCUACGCAAAUUUUAUUCAUCAACUACUAGAACCAUUUCAUACAAUAGUAGCUUUUCGAUCCUUUGAUAAAUGGACACUUGAUGUGAUAACACCAACUACACCUAUAUAUUCAAGCAAUCAUGCGUAUAUAAUAGUGGAUAUGGAUUACUUCUCUAAAUGGGCAAAAGUUUUGUCAUUCAAGGAAAGUGAACGAGGAAACACAAGUUUACUUUCAUCGGAACUAAUAUUAUAUAUUGAUAUGACUUCCCAUUAUUACUUACGAUGGAAUAUGCUUCCAUAAAAUGGCCUAGAUGAACAAACUAUCCAAGAAGUUUGGGAUCAAAUAAUAUAUAUAUAGUUCAUGUGUGAUUCUUUGGUUGACAACCUUGUUAAGGGGUGAGUGAAGCACUUUGGGCAUACCACAUACUACAUGCUAGACUUCCACCCAAGCUACCCUAUAUUCCUUAUGAACAAAGUAGAAGUUGUCAUCUCUCUUGAAUACCAAAUCCUUUCACCUAAUAAUGCUAUCUAAAAAGGUCUUAAAAAGGAUAAAAAUGCGCAUAUUUGAAUUUUUGAAUUAGGAGUGCUACUUAAAAAGAAGCUAGAUAUACAAUAAUAGAAUGUUAUCAAGCAUAUCUCUUCAAAGUUUUUGACCAAAAAAUAUAUGAUUUCUCAUUUUAGGUAGGAGACUUAGUACUCACUAUUCAAAAACCAAUUAUCAUUACUCAUAAAAACUAAUAGAAAGUUUGGGCCAAAGUAGGAUGGACCUUAUAUUAUGCAACAAUUAUGCCUAUAAAAUUGUUGCAAAAGAGGUUUUAGAAUCAAAUCAAUGAAUGAAAAAUUAUUAAAGCAUUACUAUGCUUGAAGGCUAGUCAUUUUCCCUUAAAGUGCAAUAUUAAGUUGCAUAGUACUAUGUGGAUCCGCAUUUUUCACAUGCGUUCCCACUCAUUGUCGAGACUCACUUUUUAGAAGUGAAAAAUUAGUUUUAUUAAAGUCGAAGUUGCCACUGGGGAUUUGAACCCUAACAAAAGGUUCAAUUUAAGGAUAAAAAUAUCGAUAAUCACAUAUAUAUAUAUUGGUACUUUGAUUUUAUGAAUAUAUUGAAGAAAUAUGGACAAAUAUUUUGACACAAAAUAUGUACAAAAUAAAAAUUAUAUAAAAAGUAAAAAUAAAUAUUUUAAAAUUAUUUUUUUAAAUAUAUAUAUAUAUAAUUUGACAUAUUUGAUAAUAAUAUAUAAGGGUCUCCAAAAAGCCCGUGGCCCGCUUUAGGCCCGGUCCGACCCGACAGGCUAAAGCCCGGCCCAAGCCCGCCGGGCCCAAGCUCGGCCCGAGCCCGUUUAUGGGUGGGCCGGGCCGCGAGCCCGUAGGCCUGCUCCUUUAAAAAAAAACUACAAAAAUAAAAAGUAUUAAAAAAAAUAUUCAUUUCAAAAUUUUAUUCAUUGAAUGUAUAAUUACAUUUGAAAAUGUGGGAAAAGUUUACAUCACUACAAAAUAAAUACAUCCCAACUAGGUUGGCACCUAUUUAUUUGUCAAUCAUCUGUAUUUUUCAACCACAAAAAAUAAAAAUAAAAAUAUAAUAUACAUUUAGUCAUUAUUUUCUGGCGGUGAUGGCGAACUAUCAUGCAUCCAUGAAGAUCUUGAUAAUUUUAAAGAUUCCAUAUCGGUAAGCAUCUUUGUUUCUCGAAUGGAAUCAUACAUCCUUUUAUCUGCUAUUUCCCAAUCUUUCACACAUAUCCCUGCUUUAAUAACAUCUGACGCUAAGUUGCAUCGUUUUUUACUAACUACUCUUCCACCUGCACUAAAAGCAGCUUCUGAUGCAACUGUACUCACAGGAACUGUUAGUACAUCACGAGCAAUUAUAGAAAGCACAGGAUAUUUGUGUUGAUGUGAUUUCCACCAUAUUAAAAUAUUAAAAUCUUCUUGAUCUUCAAAUGAAAUUAUAUCAGUAUUAAGAUAUUUAUCUAAAUCAGAUGUAUUAUUUGGAGAAUUAUUUGUUGUCUUUUUUCGACUUUUCAACAUUUCUAGAGCUCCUUUAUAAAAAGAUGAGGAGUUUGUAGAUGUAGGUGGUAAUUUAAUAGUAUUAAUAUCAUUACCAUAUUUUUCUUUAUAAUAGUUAUAUAAAUUAUAUAAUAAUGAAUUUAUUUCAUUUUUAAUUUCUUCAAUUUUUAUUUGGUCAUUAAAAUAAAUAAUUGUUAACCAUUCAUCCAAAGCUUCAAAUUUCAAUCUAGGGUCCACAAUUAAAGCAAUAUAAAAAAUUAAAGGUAUUUCUCCCCAAUAUUUUCUAAAUUUUUAUAUCAUUACAAAUAUUGUAUCAUUAAAUAUUUCAAAACUUAAAUAUUUUUGAAGUACAAUAAAAAUAUUAGUUAUUUGCGUAAUAACUCGAUUUGAAGUUGGAUAAUAUACACCACAAAAAAUGUUUGUUGAAGUAUCAAAAAUUUCAAAAAGAUCUCUUAAAACAUCCGCAAUAUGCCAAUCAUAAUCAUUUAAUGCAUAAAUAUCUGCUUCAUAAUCAUUGUUAAUUAAUUGUAUUUCAUAUAAUUCGACUACUUUUCUAUAUUUUGUAAUAUUUUCUAAAAGUUUAUAUGUGGAAUUCCAUCUAAUAGCCAUAUCCAAAUUUAUAUUUUUUCUUUUCAUAUUUAACAUUUUGCAACAAUCAAAAAAUAAUUCAUGUUUUGCUUGAAAACUAUUAAUACUAUAUGCAAUGCCUCUAAUUUUUUUCCAAUGUACUAUCAACAUUUUUUAAUCCAUCCUUUACAAUUAAAUUUAAAAUAUGUGCACAACAACGCACAUGAAAUAUUUUAGCAUGAUCUUCUUUUACUUGCCAAUAUCGUUUUAGUCUAUGUAUUGCUGCAUCAUUAUUAGCAGCAUUAUCUAAUGUUAUUGUCAAUAUUUUAUCACGAAUGCCUAAAUCUAUAAUUUCAUCAUUUAUUAAAGAUGCUAUAUUUUUACCACUAUGUGGAGUAUUUAUUAAUUUAAAUAAAAUUAUUCUUUUAUUUAAUUUCCAUUCAUUAUCAAUGUAGUGAACAAUUAUAUAUAAAAAACCAGUAUGAGUUAAAGAUGUCCAAAUGUCAGAUGUUAAACGAAUAUUUCCUUCAAAAUUUGCAAAAUUUUUUUUUAAAAUUUCUUUUUGUGUAUAAAUUUUUUUCAUAAUAUCUCUUUUAACUGUAUUUCCAGAUCAACCUUUAAAUUGAGGAUUAAUACCUCGUUGAAUUGUUCUUGCAAAAUCAUGAGUUUCCAUCAUGUUGAAAGGUUGUUCUGCUCUUAUUAUAUAAUCAAUCAUUUCUUCACAACAGUUAGAUUCAUCAUAAGAAAAUGUUUUUAAAUUUCCACUUUCAUUUUUACUUAAUUGCAUAUAAUUUCUAAUAUCUACAUUAUUUUUAGUUUUACAAUUUUCAUGAUGUCUUUUUAAAUGACUUGUAUCUGCAUUUGAGCCACCAGUAAGAAAUUUAUUACAAAUUUUACAUUUUGCUUUUAUUUUUUUUUUAUUAUUUUCUAAAAUUAUUUCUAUUCUAUCAAAAAAAUUCCAUAUAUUUAAAGUAAAUUUUUUGUUUGAUGAUAUUUCAUCACAUGGACUAGACGAAGAAGCACUUGUCAUAUUAUAAUUAUUGAUAAAAUAUUAUGCCAAAAAUAAUAAAGUAAUAAAUAUAAAAAAAAAUGUAACAAAAAAAAUAAAGUAGUAGGGGUGAAGUAUGUUACUCAAUUAGAGAACCUAUGCAGAAAUUCCUAGCAAAUUUGAACUCUUGGAGCCACCAAUGCUUGUUUUGCACCAUCAACAAUAUUGUAUAAUUUGAGGGAAAAAUAAAAGAAUUUAAAAUAUUGUAGAAUGUGAGAGAAAUAGAGAGAAUUUGAUGAAAAAAUGAAAAGGAAGAAAAUGUAUUUAUAGGAAGGUUAAAAAUAAUAAUAAUAAUAAUAAUAAUAAUAAUAAUAAUAAUAAUAAUAAUAAUAAUAAUAAUAAUUGGCCAUGUGACCGUUGGAGGCUUAGCUCCAACGGUCACAUGGGCUGGAGCUAGGCUCCAACAGUCACAUGACCGUUGGAGCCUUUAAUUUUUUUUUUUAAAAUAAUAUACUUUAUUUUUAUAUAUAUAUAACUAACUCAAUUAAUAAACAUAAAAAGAAUAUAGUUCAGUUGGUUAGAACCUUGAAGUUUAAACAUGAGGGGAGGGGUUUGAAUCCCUCCCUCUCCCUUAGGGGCUUUUUUAAAAGCCAUUUUGGCUUAUUUCAAAAAGCCUGUCGGCCCGACCCGCCCUGCAGCCCGCGGGCCUAGCAUUUUAGCAUGGCCUGGUCUGUUGACUAGUCAAAUGGCUCAUAGGCUCGGCCCGAACUGGGCCGCGGGCCUCUUAUUUACGGACCGGCCCGACCCGGCCCGCCCGUUGGAGACCCUUGAUAAUAUCUUCUAUAUUAAGUUACAUUAUAGUUUAUUUUACAAUAUUAUUAUGAUAAUAUGUCUAAUUUUAAAAUAUAUUUAAUAUUAAAAUUAUGAUCUAUUUUAAUUUAAAUGUAUUCAAUGAUAUCAAAUAAAUAAUAAUAUAUGUAUAAUUCUUUUAUUAUUUAUAUUUAUUAUUUUUAAUAAAUAUAUAGAUUAUAUAAAAAAGACCGGAUAUAUCUUUUCAAAUUUUGUAUCGCUCUCCAAGGAUAUUAGAUGUAUGGGAAUUUGUAUUGCUAUCUACGGAUACGUUGAUAUAUGGGUGAUUUAUCAGGAUAAUUAGAAAUUCUAAUUAUGUAAGCAGGUACGGAGUUCUGUGUCGGUGCGAUCUUGUCGACAACAGCUCCAAAUUGUGCAUCUUGCUCAUAGAGAGUAGCGGAAUGCACCAAUCGUAGGCUCAGAGUACCACUGAGUCGUCUGGCAGAGACCCAACUGAAGGUGCCUGUGUUGUUCCUGAUCUGAUCAGGCUUCAAACUACAAGGUGGAAUACUGGUUCCCCUAUAUCAGAAGCUGGAGAUACCCACCCCAUAUGCUCGUCUGGAUGUGCUCCUACCCUUUGAAGCCUUCUUCCGAGUCAAGUCCGAAUUGAUAAGGCUAGUGAGUUCCCAACCAACUGUACUCAGCAUGCUGCCAGGUGGAGACCCUCCAUAUUUGAUGGCUUCCUAAUAUUAAAAUGCUGACCACUGGUCUUCAUGUUCCACAGGCUUAAUUGUGUCCUUUGCUGAAAGAAUGGAUAGUGAUCCAUUUUAACACAUGAUUCACGCCGUCUUUGCCAUUCUUCAUGGUCUAGCCCUUUUAUAUAUAUGCUUCCUGAACUGUUGCUAUUAAUAAAAUGUGGUAUCUAUCCCGUACACCUUCCUGAUGGCCAGCGAAUGCAGAAGCUACAGAAACGGUUCCAUCUUUUGCUUCCGCCACUUUGGCAUCCUCCAUGAUGAGAUCGAAGGUGAAUAAUCAUAUUCUGGGGAUUUAUGUCCUGGAUAUUCUCAGUAAUGCCCAAUUUCCUGGUGCCGGCCUCAUUUCCAUGGGAACUGAUGGAUAACUUAAGGCUUCUACCAUCUGCGUGGUUCGCUUCUAACACAGGAAACUUCACGGCUAAAAGCAAGAUACCAAGAACAUCAAGGCUGUGACAAAAAUUAGUAUUUUUAACUUGUAGGAAUUUGAAAGGCAACCAACCAUCUAGCUCUGUUCUUAAAGCUCCCAUAGGAGGAUCAGAGGCUGGAUUGCUCAAGAUGAACUCAUCCAUUGUUGCACUUAAAAAGAAUUGGCAUGAAUUGUGGCCGCUCUAAUAGGUUCCCUAAACCAUCAUCCAAGUGGGCUUGCGGAAGGUAGCGAGUUUAAAACACCUAGGGCGAUGAACAGUGGACUGUGAUGCUCACAAAAGAGAAAAGGAAGAAUUCAAUAAUUCCUAAGAAUCCAUUUGCCUGUCAUCCAAAUUUUUAUAUUCUCUUCAGUCUGACGCGUUAUGCCAUAUAUUAAAAAUAGCGGCUUCUUCCAAGCCGAGACAGACUGUGCAAAGUUCGCAAGGCCAAUCAUCACCAUAAUCUGAAGUUGGCCUCCUCAAUCGCAGCUUGUAUCCGAAUGCUCACUUCACGGGAUGGAUUGUAAUGAAAACUAAUCUCAGUCCCAGCUAUGGCAGCAUCCUCACUUGACAGCAUUUUCUGCAUAUUCUAGAACAAAGCAAUAAACCCUCAAAGGCUCCUUCGGAUCAGAGUUAGAAGACUGUCCCUCAGGAACGUGAACACUAUGGUGGUUCUGAUAAGCAGUGAUAUUGCAUUAGAGCCUUUUGGAACAAGAGGAUCUUUUCAGGUGGAAACUGUAAACUGCUUCAUGUUGGGCUGCAACCUUUUCUUCAAGCAAUACUUUCUUUCUGUAUCACGACUUAUGUUGCUUCCGGAGCCAUCCCGUGUGGACUGCCCUUCAGUGAAAGAAUAUGUGUGUUGACAUGUUGGAUUGUAAUCUUUGUUCCACUCUAAUGGCUUUUGGUCCUCCUCUUUCUCUUUAUGACAGAGAACCAUUUAGUGAUCCAUCUCUAUAUUGUAGCAUUGCUGGUGCUUUGCAAUACUACACUCUCACCAAGCAUAACAUCUAUUUUUCCGUGACCAAAGUAUGUCGGUUUAUGCAUGCGCAAACUCUUAUUCAUUGGCAAGUUGUCAAGCGUAUCUCAUGAUUUCCCAAAGCCACAAGUUCUUAUGGUCUUUCUGUUCAAGCUUACAAUGAUCUAUCUUUUCUUGGUUAUACUGAUGUCGAUUGGGCUAGUUGCCCUGAUAACAAGCACAAUACUAGUGGGUACAACACUUUUCCUGGUCCUAAUCUCAUUUCAUGGGCAUUUUCAAAGCAGAAGGUUGUGUCUCACUCCAAUAACGAAUCUGAAUAUAGGGGACUCACUAAUUAAUGUUGUUGCCAAGGUCACUUGGAUUGAAUCUGUCUUACGUGAGUUGCGUGUUUCUCUACCCCAACCACCAAUUUUGUUGUGUGACAACAUUAGUGCUACACACUUGGACAAACCAUGUUGAAAUACACUAUCAUUUUAUCCAUGAAAGGCUUAUGCAUCACACACUCAAAAUUCAAUACACCUCUUCUAUAGACCAACUAGUCAAUGCUAUGACCAAAGCUCUUCCUUCAUCUCACUUGUACAAUCUUCAGUGCAAGCUGAUUGUUCUUCCCAAACCACUCAACUUGAGGGGAGAUGUUAAGCCAAUUUAAUAAAUUGAUUUCUUUUGGUUAAUUUGUUAGAAUCAUUUUUAUUAGAGGUUUGUUUGUACAAUUACAUCCAUUUAUCAGGAGAGUACACGUGUACAACUCCUCUUUUAAUCUCACCAUUGUAUAUAUAUGAUACACGACCUUACUCAGAAUUGCAUAACAUUUCCUCUGCUCAUUCCUUUUCUUCUUUGAAUUUUCCCUUACCUCACUGAUUUUGAUUUAUACCUGGUGUUUUCACCUUUGGUCUCUACCUUUCUAGCCAGUUUUCUAAUUAAUCCGUAUAUGGUAUACCUGUCAACUAAUGAGGAGAAAGAGAAAAGGGGAUUGCUGUUCCACCAGCUACAUAUAAUAAUUAAUUACAAUCAUGGUAAUGGAUCCUGAAAUCCAUCCUUUGUGGAUUUUGUACGGAAUAUUGUUGUUAUGUAUGUGGGCUCACUUAGAUGUAUAUUGCUAGCCUGUCUGGGAAAUGUGAUUGCAGGUCCAGAUUAUGAUGUUGAUAUUAGUGGGAUAAGCAAGAGAUGCAGUUAACACGUAUGUGAUGGACUUGAGUAACUUUUCCAUUUCAGUCCAUUUUUUAAGAUUAUGCUUAGUCUUAUUACAAGGAAAGACCAUAAGAAUCAUGAGUCAUUGGCAAGGUAAUAUCAUUCCCUCUUUACAGGCUUCUUCACCUUUUGGUUUUUUUAAUAUCCAUCAAGAUCUUUUAAUUGGAGGACAAUUACAAGUAUAUAUAUAUGUAUUAAAAGGGGAAAAUAUUAAAACAGGAAAUUUUAGGGAAAAUAUAAUAAUUAUUUCUUCCUUCUUUCCCAUAUAGAACUACACAAAAUAAAACUUUAAUAAUUUUUUCUUAUCUUUUUUAUUAUUAUUUUUUCUUAGAAACAUCCGUGGUCUCACAAGCUUGUAAUCCUAGAUUGUUAGGCUCCUUUAACAGUGCCCCAACAUCGUGGUCCAAUGACAAGCUUCCACGCCUUAAAAUCAGAAAAUGCCAUUAAACUUUAUCAGACAUUACAGUUCAAGACAAAGCUUUCAUUUGCUUAAUGUGAUAAUGAAAUUGUUAAUUUCAUUUCGUGGGCAUCUAAAUUUGGACGAGCAAGACCUCUGAAUUCCCUGUUUUUAUCACCAGCAGAGGAGAUAAAAUCUUAAUGGUGAGAAUCUCCACGUGAAAUUUAUGUGUACUGUCAACAUAUUUUUGUUUAUAUAGUCCAGUAGCUGCAGGAAGUCUAGAUUAUAUAGGUAGCAGUAGCACUAUUUAUAGCACUCGAUAUUCGCUGUAUGAAUACAUUAAACCUUGUUUUCAAUACGCAUCACAAGCAAGUACUAGAUACUACAAGGAGUGACAGUCGCAUCAACAUUUCUUGAUAAUAGCAGUGACUGAUUUAUACACAGAACAGUACUGUACACGUACCAGUCACCAGAGAUAGGAUCUUAUUCCUACAUACGACUCUUAUUGAUCGAAGUCACUCAGUUGGGGUAGCCUGGAGUUGGAGGUUUGUGUGGUGGCUUCUUCUUUGGAGGAGGCUUUAUCUUUGGAGGCAUCAUCUUUGGAGGCAUCUUGUGUGAGUCUUCUUCAGCAUUCUCUACAGGAGGAUGGCCAGGCUUAUGACCCUUAGGUGGUUUGCCAACUGGGAUUGGUGGCUUGUGUCCUGAGAGUGGCUCCUCUUCUUCGGGAGGUUUGCCAACUGACGUUGGUGGCCCGUGUCCUGGGGGUGGCUUGUGUUUUGGGGGUGGUUUCACUCCACCGGGAGGUUUACCAAUUGGUGUUGGUGGUUUGUGCUCAAUCGGUGGCCUCUCAACUGGGGGGCGCUUGGGGUAAUCAGCGAGUGAAGAAGUGGUGAGAACCACCACUCCAAGCAACAACACUAGCAAGUAUGUGGAAGACAUCUUUGAGUUUGGCUCAGAUGGUGUAGAACUAGAAUCCUGGGUGGCCUUUUAUAUUAGUUGGGCCCUAUGCCCGAACGACAAGUGUCAUGGUGACACAUAAAGUGAUGGGGUCGAUUUGGGCCUACCGGAUUUGAAAACUUGGACAAUUCGAGAAGCGUCUCCUGACUCCGGGUUGUAAAGUGAAAGAUUAGGUAUCGACCAUUGAAGUAUGAUCACAACUUUUGGCCUUUGGCUCUCUCUACUGCCGUAUAGCUUUUUUCCUUUGGAUAUUUUUCUUAGCUAGACACAAUUAUUGAGCAGUCUAAUCUCGAAAUGGGAUUAGUAUAGCUUUAAGCAAAUUUAUUAUAGUUAGUGGAGGACUUUUAAGAGUGCAGACGACAUUUAACACAUGCAUGCAGUAGUAUAGGGGACAUAACACUAUUCUUUUUCCAAAGAUUCACAUGAUUUUUAUAUUAUAGUAUUGGCACAUUGUAUGUAGCUGGUUUUGUGGUUAAAAUUCCAUAUGUAGACACUGGCGUUUCUCCAUUUCUCACAAUUGAUGUUUACCUCCACGAUUACUAGAUUAGAUAUACCAAACAAUAACACAUUGUAUAAUCUAUCCGCCCUUCAAAAUCUACUGUAUGAUGAAAUGUUUCAUGUGUGUGUGAAGUGUUAGAAAUGCACUAUAGGCAACAUCAUCUUCUUUUGUCUAGGCUUGGGCCUCAAAUUAUACUCCCAUGCCAUGAUAAAUUUUCAUGUGCAUUCUCUAAAGAAGAGUGUCUUGAAUGUGCCAAAUCAUUUUGAUUGAUUUUAUGAUGUUAAUUGCUCCGCAUAUGGAUGGGUAUGUGCUUUAUUUGCUUAUUCAAUCCACAAUUACCUUGAACUGAAGUCCUAUUGGAGCUCUAUUAUUUUAGCAACGUCCUGUCAAAUAGGCUGCUAACUUGGGGUGGUAUGGACCCAAUGAUCCAUCUUAAUCUUGGGUUGAUUUUGUCUGACUCUAUCUAUCUCAGAGAGAACCAGGAUCACCAGUGCUGGUCUGCUUAAAGAAGACUCAGUACUGGAUUAAUAUUGGUUUGGGUCAAUAGCUUAUAAUGCAUUGAAUGCAGAAUAAACAAGAUCAAUGAAACCCAAAACACACUGCCCACACAACUUCACUCUGGUGUCUGUUAUUCAUCAAUUCUAUUCCCACAUGAACUGGUUCAAGUUUAAGAAAAUGACAACGGAUCCACUGUAUUAACUUGGUUUUGCUUGGUUUUGAGCUAGUUGCCAAACCAGCCAUGAGUUUUACCUCUAAUGUCAAUGAACAAACCCCAAAUGAACAACUGCAACAGCUUAAAGAGAAGGAAUGGAGAUGAAAAUCCCUGUUUCUUCUCAUUCUGGGGACAAAUUAGAACAUAACUACAAAGGUUCUAUUAAUUGACUUACUCUACCAUGAAUUAUGGUUCUUUGGUUUUCCAAAUUUAAAUUGUACAUGAGAUUAUUUUUUUCCUUUAUAUAUAAACAUAUUAAGGUUUUCUUAUUUCGUGGGCAAAUGCGCUAAGGAUGAAAGUCAUUUCAUUUGGCUGCAACAGCAUCUUAUAAUCAACAUGCAUAAGCAGCAGUUUUAAUUGAUCGAUUGAACACCGACUCACAAGAAUAGAUAGAAUGGUACAAGACAGCUCUUAUUAAUUUAUACUCGUUACUCAUUUUAUGUAGCCCCAUUAAGAUGGCUGGCUGGACCACCGAGGUCUGGGGGUGGUGUUGCUUGUGUGAUGCAGCGGGCCGGGCAGACACUUCUCUAGUUGCUUCUAUUUGGAGUUAGAGGAUCAGUCUCUGCCAACCUUGAGGACUCUCUACCUCAGAGGGUCCAGGUGGUGGACUCUGGUGUCGGUAGCUUUGAACUCUCAGUAGACUAGUGUGUCUUAAUCAGUCACUGCCAGAGGCUGGCGUAGGCAGUGACGAUAAGGUGAGACAAAUUACCGAAUAGUCAAUAUCGACUGCACUUGACCAUUAUAGAUUUGUUCUGACAAAAGUGAGAAAAGGGAGAAAAUCGGAUGUUGACCUUUAUAGAAAAAGAUAAGAUUUACUGCAACACAGAGCACUGAUUUGUUACUUGGAAACCAAGUUAUGCUAUUAGCUAGCCUCCAUUAGCAGCAGGGUACCUUGCUGCCUGAUCCUAAUCUGAGUUCCCAAGGUUUCAAUCUUCGUUUGUUAACGCUUCAGGAUUUGGAUAUUUCAGCUUCGUUUCUCCAUUUAGCCAACGCUGCCUGGUUUGGAUUUCAAUCCUCAUCUGGAACAUUCUUUUUUCGGUCUGAUUCAGGAAGUGUUUGGUGAUAGUUGAUUAAAAUUAAACAGUACUAUCAUACAAAUAAAGCUGAUCUAAUUUUGGUGGGCAAUAUACCAACUCAUUUAUUCUUGAAAACACCAUGGGGAAUUGGAGGUCCAUCCGAAGUACUAUUUGAUGGGACUCACAAAAAGAACAGGUGCACAUUUAUGAGAUCCGUGGAAGAGAUAACUAUGACAGCUAUGCAUGUACAACAGAUUUAUGUCGAGUUCACCUCGUAGAUAUUUUGUUUUCAGUGUCGGUGGACCCCAAAAUGGAAAUCGGAAAUUAAGGUUAUAUUUAUUUUUUUAUUUAAUUUUAAAUAGAAUUUUAAUUUUUAAUAAUAUUAAGUAUUAAAUUAUUUUUUUAAGGGUAUUUUAUUUUUAUUAAGUAUUAAAAAGUAAAAAAAAUUAAUAUGUUGCUUUUUUAUUUUAAAAAAAUUAUAUAUUUUAAUUUUUUCUAUUUACUAAAAAGUUUAUAAUAAAUUAUAAAAAAAUAAAAAAAUAAAAAACUUAAAUUCUGAAAAUAAAUUAUUUUUAAUAAAAAAAUCCAAAAAAGCAAACACCACCUAAAUUUGAGAUGACUCAAAAUUUUAUAUUUUUUUUCACCUAAAUUAUAUUCAUAAAUUUAAAAUUAAAAAAUUAGGAAGUUGAAUUUUAUUUUGGAUAAUUGGAAACUACAAGAAAUCAAUAAAAAUAUUUGGAAAAAAAAGAAAAAGAAAAACUAUCUAUAUAUUCACCCCCUUCUAAGAAACAUAACUUUAGUUUUUAACUAUUUUUUAAAAUAAUUUUUGAAAAAUGUUAUAUAAUAUUUUAUAAAACAAAAAAUCUGUUUGACAAUUUGAUAUGUCUUUAACUUAUUUUUAAUAUUUAUAUAUAUAUAUUUUAAAAAUAAUUUUAUAUUUAGAACUUUAUCUUUAAUUAUUAUAUAUAUUUAUAUAAUUAUUUUUUUUAAAACAACUCUUAAAAAAUAAGUGAAAGUAAUUGAAAACAACUCAAAGAUAUUUGAUGAAAACACUCUAAUUUGUAUUUUUGAGAAUAAAAAAAUAAAUAAAUAAAUUUCUAGUUAUCAAAUGUAUUUUUUAAUUCUUUUAUUCUAAAAAAUAGAAAAUCGUUUUUGAAAAUAAUUAUUAAACAACAUUCUUAAAAAUUCACUCGUUACAAUCUAGAUUUAAUGCAAGAAUGAUUGAAGGAGUCCUCCAAUAGAACCCAAAGUUAUAAACAUGAACAAGAAGCCCUAGAAACACCAAAGAUCUCAUAUGGUAUAUAUAUGAGCUUGAUUGAGAACUGUUUUAAAUUCAGUUUUUUUUUUUUUUUUUUUUUUUUGUUUUCAAAGUCAAAACAAGUUUACUUUUAAUUUUUACUUCUUUUUUUUAAUUUUAUAAAUAACAGUUUUUUAAUAAUUUAUUUUGAAAACAUGAUUAUUUUUAAAACUUAUAAUGAAAAUAGGAAUUUUUUUUUUAAUAUCAUGGUUAUUUUCCCUUCUUUUAAGGAGGGCUAUUUUAAAAAUAAAUUUACAAAUAUGAAAAAUGAUUCAAACUAAAGCAGUACAAAUAAAAAACAUUUUUAAGAAAUAUUUAAAAAUAGAGAAAAUUAUUUGAGAACAUUUGAAGUCCUUAAAUAGACUUUUGUUUUAGAAAAGGCAAGAUAAUUAUUUUUGAAAAUUGUUUUCAUAAUGAUAUGCAAAAACCUACGUAAAAACCAUAAUUAUAAUCGGCCACAUAUCAAAUCUACUAAAUAUGAAAAGUAAGUACAUAAUUAUAUUUGACUUAGAUGCAAGGAGGAAAAUGUCGCGAUAUUAUCGCCGAAAUAUCGUGUGUCGAAGGGUAUCGACACGAUUUUUCUUGCAGAAAUAUCGGCCAGUCGAUUUUUCGGGAUAAAUCUCGAGAAAUCGGCAAUUUAUCGCGAUAUAUCGGCGAUUUUUCCUCGAUAUAUCUUCUGGUCAACGCGGGUCAACGGAGUCAACACGCUACAGUGAAAGUCAAAUGUGCUACAAUGUCCCCGCUACAAUCACCUCCCCAAACAAAUUGCCAAAUUGCUUCCGAGGGGAUUUGAACCAGCCUUCUUGCCAUUUGGGCUAACUCGCCCUUAUGAUAUAUAUUGCAUUAAACAUAUAUAUACUUAAAGUCCUUAUAUAAAGAAAAUGUUAAAAAAAUAUUUUAAAGAGCAAAUUAAUUAUAAUUAUUUUAUAAUUAAAAGCAAAAUUUUCUUUUAAUUAAUUACCAAAAAUAUAAAAAUUAUAUAAUUUUCUUCAUAAUGUUUUUAAUAUCAUUAAUAAUUAAUUAAAUAUUAAAAAAUUAUAUAUAUAUAUAUAUAUAUAUAUAUAUAUAUUAUAAUUUAUUUUAUAUUGUUUAAUACAAUUGAAUUAAAUGGAUCAUAUUUUAAUAUUAAUAUAUAUUUUAAAAUUAGACAUAUUGUAAUCAAAUAUCAUAAUAUUAUAUGUAAUUUAAUAAUAAAUGUACACUUAUAAAAUUCAUAUUUUUAUCGAUGCAUACAAUAUUAUUAUCAAAUAUGAUAAAUCAUGUUAUACAUAUAUCAAAAUUUUCAAUAAAAUAACUUUAAAAUGUCUAUUAUACUUCUAAUUAUAUUAUUAUGAGGUUUUCUUUACAUUUUCAUGAGUUUUAAACAAUUUUAAGCACCAAUAUUUUUUUCCAAAAUAUCCACCGAUAUAUCUCCGAUAUAUCCAAUAUAUCUCCGAUAUCUCCGAUAUAUCCGUAAAAUCGAAGUACCGAUAUAUCCGUGAUUACCGAUAUUUUCAUCAUUGCUUAGAUGCAACCUUCUUCCAAAUGACAUACUUUAGUCAAUACUUAUAUUUUUUCGUUUCACUUCUUUGAUACAACACCUCAUGGAUUUAUUGUUUAAUUUAUUUGUAAUUAUAAAACUAUUUUUCAUUUUUAAUAAGACUUGAAUUAAUUUAAUAAAUAUUAUAUAAUUUGAAUUUAUAAUUCUUUUUAUAAAAUCAAAGUAUAUUAAAAAAAAAACAAUUUAUCCGAAGAAAGUUUUUUAUUUUUUAUUUUUUAAAACCGAUUUUAAAAAUAACUAGCUAGACACCCUUAUUUUGAUAAAAUACGAAAUAAAAGUGUAAAAACAACAUGGCCAAAUAGGGGCUUAAAUUUUAUUUUUAAAACAUUUUUUUACACUAAAGUGCAUUUUAAAAACACCAUCAAAACCAACUACAAGUUAUGCUUCUUCCCGUAAUAGAAAUAUUUUAGGCCAAAAUAGAACCUCCCCAAAUAAAGACCCUAUACUAAACUCCUUUUCAUUUUAUUAAUACAAAAGUGGGGAAAAAAGGUCUAUGCUCACCUAAAAAACAUGAAUAUUGUGAAUUCACCAUUUCUAUAAGGAAGUUGAAAACUUCAAAAUUUUAUCAACAAAUUCUCUAAAAUCCUCAAAAUAUAUAGGGCCUGUUUCACAAAGUUUUUUAAAAUUUGUUUUUAUAAAUUGCUUUUAAAAUAUAGAAUAAAUAACAGUUUUUUAGAUUUUUUGAAAAAUAAGAGUGUUUGGUAAGAUGUUUUUUUUUUUUUUUUUUUUUUUAAGAAUUAAAUAAAAAAUAAAAAAAUUGUUUAGAUAAAAGAAUUUGUAUUGUUUUUAAAAACAAUGUCUUACUUUUAUGUUAUAAAAAUUUUAUUAAUUUAAUUUAUAAUAAUAUGAAAUGAAAUUCAAGUUAAGUCUUAUUAAAAAAUACAAAUUAAAUCUAUAAUUAUGCAUGAGUUAAAGAUAAAUAUAUAUUUUUUAAAACUAUAAAAUAAAUUUUCUAUUAUAGUGAAACAAAAAUUACUAUAAAAUAAAAAUAAUUUUAAUAUUCAUUUUUAAUACAAGUCAAAUAAGUACUUUAAUUAAUUUUUUUUAUCAUGAUUUCUUAUGUUUUUUUUUUUUUCUAGAAAUUAUUUUAAGUAAUAUAACUAAUUUUUUUUUUAAUGUUUUAUAAAAAUAAGGAUAUUUGGCAAGUUGUUUUUAUAAAAGGAUUUUAAAAAUAAAUGGAUUUUUUUUUUUUUUAAAAAAAGAACAAAAUGAUUUGUUUGAAUAAAUUGUUUUGAUUUUGUAAAAACAUUUUAAAUUCAAUUUAUAUAAUAUUAAUUAAUUAAAUUAAAUUGAAGUUUUAUUGAAAAUAAAAAUAAUUUUGUAAUUAAAAUUAGAUUAAAAAAUAUAUAGGUUUUAAUAAAUCGUAAAUAGUAAUAUUAUAAUAAAAUUAUAAAUUAUAUUUUUAACAUAAAAUAUACUAUUUAUUACAUAUUAAAAAAAAUAUUUUAUUAUAUUAAUAAUUUUAUGGUAUUAAUGAGUUUAUUAUUUAAGUUUUAAAUUAUUUUUAAAAAUUAAUAAAUUUGUUAACAAAUGCAAUGUACUAAAUGUGGUUUAAUUUGGAGUUAAUUUGUUUAGGGAAAAAAAUAAAAAAUAAAAAUCUUAUGUAAAAGAGAAAUAAUAGAGUGUGUGUGUUUUUUUUUAUUAUUUUUAAAAAUCAGUAAAAAGAACUUUUACUUAUUGCCUAAAAAUUAUUCUCUAUUUUAUUUUAUUUUUUAAAUCUAGAAAUAGAUAACAAUAAUAAAAAAAAUUAAAAAAGAAAAAUGUUUUUUAAAACUCAGACUUAUAAUUGCUUUUGUUUCUCAUUCGCACCCCUGGAUUCCUGGAUUCUAAACACAAAAUUAAGUUGAAUCGUCCAUCUAUCUUGUAAGCCAAGAAUUCACAUAGAAGAAAUAAUCGGAAUUUGAUUUGAUAUCAGAUUUAGAGUGGCUCACUACUCAUGCAUUGUCCCACAAUAGUAAUGCUUUGGGCCGAGAUAAACCCAUUUGUGGGCCCAAAUAAAACCCCUGGUUUGAAAACAUCGAUUUUACAGUGGCCCAAAAGAUUAUCUAUGAGGGGAAGAUAACUUGGAAGUCAAGCAAACACAUUUAUCGCUAACUUUUCUCUAAUUAUAAAAUUAUAACUUGGUCUUCUACACGUCUCACUUAAGAGGCGGAGCCACUUGGCACUACCUUUCCAUAUUGUAAAAGGAGAAGAAGCAGAAGGAGAAGAUUCUUAUGCCAUUCCACACACCAUGGCUAGUACUGCUAUGCUGCUUGGCCCGCCGGCUCUCCGCCAUCCUAAUUCUCCCGCCGGCACUGUCUUUGAAGAUGGGGUCAUUCUAACGGAUUCCCUGAUCGUCCGCACCAGUAAUCUGGAGCUUUCUGAAAAACCGCCACUGGAAUCCCUGGCGUAGUGCUCUGUCAGUGGGGAUAUUGCUAUGGAUUGUUUGGAUUCCCAAGCCCACAAUCUUCAUCUUCCCGGGAAACCGCCGAUGGGCUUAACGGAAAACAAGUCUCCGACCUUUUUGUCUUCCGGGAACCCGUGCUUGGACUUCUUCUUCCAUGUGGUUCCCGAUACGUCGUCUGAUGAUCUGAUCCGACGGUUUGAGUUGGCUUGGGAAUUCAAUCCGCUGACGACGUUAAAACUGAUAUGCAACUUGAGAGAGGUGAGAGGCACCGGAAAAUCUGACAAAGAGGGUUUCUACACGGCGGUUCUCUGGCUCCACGACCACCAUCCCAAAACCCUAGCCUGCAAUGCUAGGGUGUUGGCCAGCUUCGGUUAUUUCAAGGAUUUUCUCGAGAUUCUCUACCGGCUUCUGGAGGGCCCUAAAAUUCGAAGAAUCGAAAAGAAAGACUGGCUGGAUCGAAAAGGAAGGAAGAAAAAUUCCCGGAAAAGGAACUCAAUAUUCAAGCGAGAAAAUAGGCCUGGAGUUGAAUUUCCUGUAGAAGAGAAGGAUGUGGAGUAUAUGGUGGAAGAAUUUGUGGAUAAAGAAAAGGCUAGGGUACUGAGAAAGGAGAGAGAACUUGCUCUUGCCAAAAGAGCCCUGCACAAGUAUUCUACUGAUUCUAAUUAUCAGUUCUUACAUGAUCAGAUUUCAGAUUUAUUUGCUGAACUUCUGAAAUCUGAUAUUCAGUAUUUAAACUCCGGUGAGCUUUACAAGAUUAGUCUCGCAUCCAAAUGGUGUCCCACAAUUGAUUCUUCUUAUGAUAAAUCCACCUUGAUAUGUGAAAAUAUUGCUCGAAAGGUUUAUUCUCGCGAGGAAUAUAUAUCCAGAAUACCAAGGAAUUGAGGAGGCUCACUAUGUUAAUAGAGUCAGGGAUAGGUUGAGAAAACAAGUACUUGUUCCAUUACGUAAGGCCCUGGAGUUGCCAGAGGUUUUCAUGUGUUCGAACCAGUGGGGAUCACUUCCCUACAACCGUGUGGCUUCAGUGGCCAUGAAAUCAUACAAGAGCCUCUUCUCAAAACAUGAUACAGAGCGGUUUGGUGUGUAUCUUGAGAAAGUGCAAACUGGGAAGGCUAAGAUUGCAGCUGGUGCAUUACUUCCCCAUGAGAUUAUAGCUUCAUUGAAUGAGGAGGAUGGCGAGAAAGUUGCAGAGCUUCAGUGGGCGAGAAUGGUGGAAGAUUUAUCAAAGAAUGGGAGGCUCACAAAUUGCAGUGCGGUAUGUGACGUAUCAGGAAGUAUGAGUGGAACUCCAAUGAAGGUGUGUGUGGCUCUGGGGCUGUUAGUUUCAGAGCUCAGUGAAGAUCCAUGGAAAGGUAAUGUAAUUACUUUCAGUGCAAGUCCUGAGCUUCACAAGAUCCAAGGAGACAGCCUUGUAUCCAAGACUGAAUUUGUGAGGAUGAUGGAAUGGGGUGCGAACACUGAUUUUCAGAAAGUUUUUGACAGAAUCUUACAAGUAGCAGUGGAGGGAAAUCUGAGUGAAGAUCAAAUGAUAAAGAGGGUUUUCGUUUUCACUGAUAUGGAGUUUGAUGAAGCUUGUGGGAGGUAUAACUAUUGUGAAUAUGACUAUGAUAUGGAGGAAAUUGAUGAGAGUCAGAAGGCAUCUCAGAAGUGGGAGACAGAUUAUGAAGUGAUACAGCGGAAAUUCCAGGACAAAGGAUAUGGAAAAGUUCCGGAGAUAGUGUUUUGGAACCUUAGAAACUCAUCAGAGACUCCAGUGAUGGCCACAGAGAACGGGGUGGCCUUAGUAAGCGGGUUUUCGAAGAAUCUGUUAGACCUUGUUUUUGGAAGGAGGUGGAAUUCUGACCCCUCAGGAUGUGAUGGAAUUAGCCAUCUCUGGUGAAGAUUACAAGAAACUUGUUCUAUUUGAUUAAGAUAUCAAGAGAUUUAUCAAUAAUAAUAUGUUUUUUUUUUUCUAUGUGAAAUACAUGUAAUAUUAACUAUGGAGUUAUCAAAGUUCUGGAAAUUUAAUUAUUUCUUCUUUUCAAGUUUUGUUUGUCUUUGUUAGGAAUUCCCCUUGGGCGGACCCAGCUGGGGACUUGGAUUGAGGAAGUAAGGAGGCGAAAUUGUGUUCUUCUAUGGACAGAGAAAAAAGAUAAAAAUAAAAAAUAAAAAAGGAGGUUAUUUGCAUUUGGAUGUCAUGUGGUUUCAGGGUACAACUACAAGUUCGAAAUUGUACAUAAUGUGAAAAUUCCUGUGUGGAGAACAGCAUAAAUAUGUAUCUCAGUGUGUUUUGUUUGAGCUAAUUGGCAAAUUCGCUUUAAACAUGGUCACAUGGAUGCAUAUUUAUUUGUGAAAUGAUAGUAGUCGAUUACUUGGUCAGUAAGGUUUGUAUCUCUAACUCCAACAUCUUAUUGUAGUCUUUUAAAAUGUCAAAAGUUUAAUGCUAGCUUGAGAAAUUUUGGAAUGGAGACAUUCUAAACAAAGUUAAUAAUCCAUGAGACUUGGUAAAACCGAUCAGAUGAUGCUUACGUACAUGAAUGCCUUCUUUAAGCCGUAUCCUAUUUUCAUUGAAUGAGACGUGCCAUCUAGUUUUGUUCUUGUCUUGAUUGGAUCAUGAUCCCGGGAAUUGAUUACUGUUCUGAAUUUGCGAAUGUUCAAGGUAUUAGAGAAAGUUAAUAUUAUCGUUAAUUUACAUAUUAGUAUUUAUCUAGUUAUUAUAUAUUAGUUUGAAUUAUAAUAUAAUAUAGAAUUUGAAUCAAGUUUACUAUUAGUUUGAAUUACAAUAGGAAAUAAAGUUUGAAUUAUAGUAUAACUCAAAUAUAUUUGUAUAUAAAUAUCCAUCUUUAUCAAUGAGAAUAGUAAACCAUAUUUUUCUCUAUCUUCUUCUUUCUCUAUAUAUAUGGUAUCAAAGCCUCCAAAUCCUAAACCUAGUCUCAACUUAGAGCAAAUUUAGGGUGCAGGGUUUAGGCCCCGCCUCCCCCAACCCUUACCACAAAUGGUAGUGACCUUGUUAUGCCUAUGUAUUGUCAAUGCCUCAUUUUCUAUGGUCUUCAAUACAAUAUCUAGUUUCAAUGUCUCUUUCCUUACUAUCUCCAAUGCAAUAUAUUGAUUUCAAUAUCUCUUUACAACCAAGAGCUCCAAAUUUUCCUGGUUCAAAUCUACCAUAAUUUUUAUUCUCCUUUGCUUUUUACCAAUAUUAGUUCCCCUAAUUUAAUAUAUAUCUCUUUAUUACCUUCAACUCUACCUCUCUCUUUCUUUAAAAGCUUCCUCAAAGAUUUGAUUGCUUUCUUGCAUGUUUUGGGAAAACAAACAUGCUCAUAUUCUAUUACCUCUACUUGAGAUCUGCCUUAUACUCUACCUUCUUCUUUACCUCCUAUAUCAUCUACUACAUUAGCUUCAAAAACAUUAUUUAGUUUGAUGCUAAAUAAGGCUCCUAAUCCUACCCUUCCUUCAACUAACUUUCUUUUACAAGUCCCUCAAAGUUUUUUUUUUUUUUUUUUUGGAAAUUUGGCUUAGAAAGAUUUCAUUACUCUUACCUAAUCUUUCAACCAUCAAGUCGAAUCCACUUAUCUCUUGAAUCCAAGGAGACUACCCUCCACAAAAACAAGGAGAUUGACCCCCACAAUAACAAAGAGAUUGUCCUCCAUAGAAACAAAGAGAGCUUCCUUCAUGGAAGCCGAAUACAUCGCAAUCUAUUUUCUUUCUCUCAAGAUCAAAUCUCCAAUCGGAGCUCCAUCUUGUGGGGAUAUAUUAGAAAAAGUUAAUAUUAUCCUUAAUUUACAUAUUAGUAUUUAUCUAUAUUAUAUAUUGAAUUAGAAUAGAAUAUAGAAUUUGAAUUAAGUUUACUAUUAGUUUAAAUUACAAUAGGAAAUAGAGUUUGAAUUAUAGUAGAACUCAAAUAUAUUUAUAUAUAAAUAUCCAUCAUUAUCAAUGAGAAUAGUAUUCCAUAUUUUUCUCUUUCCCUGAGGCUUCAGAAUGUGAUCUUGAACAUUUGAUCUUUUGGAUUCUUCUUGUUUCGGUGGUUUAAUAUAAUGGAAUGUUUAAUUAUAGCCUACUUUAUCACCAUGGAUGUGCUCCUGCAGAUUUCUUGAGGGUGAUGGUUAUUUUGUCAUGUUUCUUGAAUGGUUUGCAUCAGCUGCCUGAGCUGUUGUUGCUGGUCACUUUUGCAACCAGGGAAAGAAUCAUGGCUUUGGAGAAGCCAGCUUCUGUUUUUGUUGCCCAGCUGUUAGUUCACUAAGAUUGGGGGUCCUAACAUGUAUGUAUAAUCAUAAGCAAGGAAAUUUUAUGUCUUACGCUAGAUAGGUACCAUGAUAUGAUGUUUGAUUGAUUUAUUAACUCUACCUGUUUCAAAAGGCAUCAACAUUAAUUUUACCCUUUUAACACAUUGGAUUGUUUGACCUUACGAGAUUUUCUAUUUCUGUACUAUUUGAACUGCAAUCGUUAUGGUCCUUAGGUCUCUAAACCUUCGUUUAAAAUAAAAGUAAGGAGCACACAUAGUAAAAGUUAAUUUUGGGUAACUUUUAAAACAAAGAGAAAAGUAAAAGUUGUUUUUGAGAAAAACAUAUAGAAAUUGAAAGAUUUUUUAUUUUGAGAAAAAAAAGUCAUAGAAAAGAAAUAAUAUCCCCAUAUAAGUAGAUAUGAUCUAUCCGAAGUGUAGCUACUCUCCUGGAUUUAUUCUAACAUUUUAAAAUUUUUCUCAAUGGGCAAAGGAAUAUCAAAUCAAGCUUGAGUAGGAUUAAUUUCUUAAUUUUUAAAAUAACUUAUAAUUAAAAUUUUUUGGUGUUUUCUUUUUUGGACAAUUUUUUAUGAAGACUCUGAAUCAUGCAAGAGAUAUGGUUAUUUUAAAAAAAAAAAUAAUUUAAAACUCAAAUACAUAAUCAAUGUCACAAAUUUAUAAACAAAAGGUUUUUAAAAAAUACUAUUAUUUCCCCUCUACACAUAAUUUUACUUUUCCGAUUUAUUUAUUUUUGUUGGAAAACAGUCUUCAAAUCAAGUAAAAUUAAUAUGUUAAAUUUGUUAAACAAAUAAAUUUUAAAAUACAAUUUGGAACUCAAAAAUCAAUUCAAGUAAUGCUAAAAUUCAAAAAAUCAAAUUUGGAAUAAAAUGACUUUGUAAAUUUUUUUACUAAACAAAUGAAUUUUAAAUCAAGUGAGAUUUAAUACAUUGGAUUUUUAUGAGAAUAGUAAUUUUAAAAAUUAAUUUGGAACUCAAAAAUAGACACAAUAAAUACCAAAAAUCAAUGAACCAAAAUUGGUUUGGAAUAACUCCAUAAUUUUUUAUUUAUUUAUAUAUUUAUUUUUUUGUGCACACGAAUUUCUUACUAAGCAUAUUGCUUCCAAAUUGAGAAAAAUUUACUAUUUAGAUUUUUUUAAUGAGUUUAAUGGUAUUUAAAAAUAAUUCAAAAAUUCGAAAAUUGACUAAUUUAAUAUUAUAAAUUCAUAAACCAAGACUAAUUCAAAAUGCAUUGGGGGCUAAGGGGGUUGAAAUUAAUGCUCCAUUUGGUUGUGGCCACCAAUUGGCAAUGGCCACCAAUCAACCAAUCAAGGUGGCUAAGGGGGUUGAAAAUAGGGACAAUGGGGUGGGUUUGGGACAGGACACUCAUAUCCCAUUCCCAUCCCAAUUACACAGUUAUUUCCCAUCCUUAUUCCAAACUUGUGUUGGGGCAAGUUGAUUUGUUCCCAUCUUUGUUAACGAAAUGACUAAUAACCUCAUCCUCUCCUUGUCUUAGAUGUACAUUUUCUCAAAUUUGGUCAGGUAUGAUUGAUUCAAGCCCUAACCUUAAUUGGUAAUGAGUGGAUACCACACCUAAUUGCAUUCUUCUUUCGUUGCAAAAUAAUGAGAUUAUAAUAAUCUAGCAAAUAAGAAAAAAUAGUAUGGAAGUUCAAAUUAACACCAUAACUAUCAAUAAUUUUAAGCUUAUAGAUGACUUAAAUGAUUGAAAACUAAUGCAAAAUACUAAAAAAAAAAAAAAUCAUCUAAAGAAUUCACAAGAGAAUAGAACGAACAAAACCAAAUAGGAACAUGGGUCAACAUUAGUUACAGAUUUUGAUCCCUUUCAAGGCCAAUCUUUGAACCAAGACUUCAUCAAAUCUACUACUUCAAAGGCUUUUGUGUUCUUCUUGAGUUGUACUCUGGAACAAAGACUUCGAGGUGAUGCUUUAGAUGAUUGCAUUACACAUAUUUAGGGUAGGGAGAUUGGAGAAGCUUGAAGAUGCCAACGAUGGGUACAAUUGAGUGGUCAAUAAGAACAAUGUGGCCUAUGACUAGUUUGAUGUCAUGGUAUAGGAGUUUUGGGCAUUGAGGUGAAAGCAAGAGCAACAUGGAAUUGAUUUCAAAGUCUUUCAAUUAGUGUAAAGGAGGAAGAAGAAGUGGUAUUGAUCCUAGAAAUAGUGUUUUAGGUGUUGCAUUAGAGGAAAAGAAAAAGAAAAAGAAGGAACCAUUGGAAUUAGUACGAGUGUGAAGAGAGAAGUGUAUACAUAAGGGGAAGUAAAAGCAAAGUUCUAAAAAUUUAUUUUUUUAUUGGUGGUGUAUGGUUGCAUGAUUAUCCCUAUAAAUAAUAGGAGUUUUUUGGUGUUCUACUAGUAGUUGAAGGAUAAUUUCAUAAGAUAAUAUUUAGAGCGGGGUGGGGUGAGUUGUGACAAAAUCCAUACCCGUCCCAAACAUUGGUUCAGGUUUUUAAAAUAUUUUCAAACUUAUCAUAUACCCAAUUUUAUAUUUCAUACUUGUCCUAAUAGAGACAGGUUAGUCAGGGUUACUUGAGUAGCCUACAAAACUAUCAUCCCUAGUUGAAAUGCUCUUUUUGGCAGUGGCAGCUAGAAGCUCGAUCGAUUGACCUACAAGACUAGUUGUCAUCAUUUUAAAAAGAGUUUUGGCUUUGGUUGUGAGUGCAAUUGAAUCUAAACUAACAUUUCCUUAAUGCAUCUACUUCAAUCCUAAACUUCUUACUUAAGCCUCAAUUGUUGUUAAGAUUUUGGAAAACCCAUUUCCUUAAAUUGUAAAUUUAAGAAAAAAAAAAUUAAAAGUGAGACAUUUCUUGAUUGAAUGUUGUUAAAGGUCCCUUGGAAUUAAGACUUGGUUGAAGCCUUGGAAGAUUAGCAGAACUCUCAACUUAUGUUUGAACCUUGAGGAGAGUGGACGUAGGCCAAAAUUUUGUCAAACCAUUAUACAAAUUGAGUUUGAAUUCUCAUUUCUUGAUUUCUUAUUUAUUUGCUUUUUCUUAUUAUUACUUGAAUUGUCAUUUGCAUUCAUUAAUGUUAAAAUUGGUUAUAAUUAGCCAACACUAAUUCUCUUUCCCCUUCCCUUAAUUUCUUGGGUGUAAACCUAGGUUGGAUUAACUAGAUUUUAUCAAAUCUAUUAAGAUGGUAAAAGAAUAAUUAUUCUUAACAUACAUAAGAUCAUCUUCAAUCAAAUGACUCAUUGGCUGAUAUGUUGAAUUUGCUUAUUACUUGCAACUCAAAAUUGUGUUCUAGUUGAUAUGUCAAGUCCUGAGUGUAUGGACAUUAAAUUUGUAGUACGUGAUGAGUAUUUAGAUGGUCCAAUUCCAAGAAAGUGAUUGAAAACUAGUUCAAGAAAGGUGCAAAAGGGAAUUGUUUUGGUAUUUUCGUUUUUAUUCUUGAAGGUGGCAGAGCUAAAAUUUGAGAAAUCAAGCAAAACAUACUGAAAUUACAUUGAAAGAAAGAAAAUGGGAGUUAAUGUCUUGCAGUACAUGAUAAGGACUUCAUGCAUGUAGUGUGACCCAUGUCUUGGACUGAUGCCACACUCACGGUUACACUUAUACCCUUAGUUCUCUCUUUACUACCUUAGCUAACCUAGAUCAGGUUAUGAGAUAGGCACCUCACCACACCAUUACUUGCCCAUUAAUUAGUGACAUUUUCAAGCAAUGAGGUAACAUGGUGACACCAAGAGGGUAUAUUCCUCACCCCCAACAAGCCUAGACCUGGUCUAAAAAAAAUGGAGAAAAAUGACGUGUUGUUAUGCAGAAAUAUAGCAACCAUGCCUUCCUCAUUACUUAGAUUCAGAAUGUGAAGGUGAAAUUGAGAAACAGAAACUCUUGAAACCAAAAUGAAAAUUGAUACUUUUACGAAGAAUUACAACAACAUUAGAGGAAGACUACAUUCUUCCUCUUUAUUCCUACAUUUCUACACUACUUCUACUCCACUCCAUAUUUCUACAUACAUCUUUAAUCAGUCUUCCCUCCUUUAUAUAGAGCCAUCUUCACACAAAUUCCGCAAGGUAGAAAAGAGGAAUGAAACUUGGAGCAAGGUUCGACUACUGGCUGUAGCUUGUCAAGGCUGAAAGUGAACUUUUUUUCUUGGCUUUUCUGGGCAUAGGUAGUAACUUGUAGGUUCCUUUUUGGAAUGAAAAUGGUACGGCUAGAACAUGUGGCACUCUCUUGUUGGAUGAUGUGUCAAGCAUGUGGCAGCCAUCUAGUGGAGAUUAUGUCAAUUUUGGGAUGGAGAGUUGGCAUCCAAUUGCAAAGAAAUAUGACAUCUACCAACAUGCAAUGUCAACCUAUGUAGAUCAUAUGAAGAUAGAGAGGAAAAAUAUAGAAAUGGAUAUAUAACUAGAACUAGCUUUUUAUUAAAUGAGACGGAGAGCCAACAAUGAAGGAAAAUCAAAAUUUUUGGCUCAUAUCAAAGAAUUCACAUUGUGUUACCCUAGGUUUUCUUAAAACUUACUUUUAUGAUAAUAAAAAAUCAUUAUUGUUUAAUCCUUUGUUUUAAACGCAUGUUUAGCAGGUUGUAAAAUGUAAAUAUCUUUCGAAAUUCAAAUAUGAAGAUAUGACAUCAUUUCAAGCAAUAUAGUCUCUAGGAAUUAAUGUAAAGCUAAAUUAAGGUGCAAUUAAGUUAGUUCAAUGCAUUAUUUUAAGAAACUUGACCUAUCAAAACCUUGUCUUACUUCAAAGCCUCUUUUUCUUUUCUUCCAACUAACAUUUUAAUAAGUGAUCGCAAAAGUACAAAAUUAGAUGAAAUCCAUUUCAAUGGUUAAAAUGAUCAAAUUCAAACUUUUUCUAAGUAUCUUUUAAAAGCAUCAAUAUUGAAAGACAAUUUUAUAUUUAGUCAAAGCUUGGACAGAGCCAAAAAGCACACAAAAAUUUAUAUUUUCUAGCUCUCUACCUUGGAUGGUCUCUUGAUCCUACUUGGAGAUGUGCAUAAAUAAAAGGAUUUGAAAAUGACAAUUGACUAAGUAUGUAGUCAAUCAAUUACUCAUUGAUUGACUAGUUGAUCAAUUAACUUUGCAACAUCAUAUGCAAUCCUAAUAGCUAGUCAUCUAAUCAACUAGGUAGUAAAUCAAUAGGCCAAAAAUAUGUUUAUAAUGACUAUUUUGUACAAAAACCACUUAUAUAGUUAAAUAUAAUGCAUUUCAUUUAUAAAUCUUCUAAUUCUUGAAUAACAAUCCUAUCAUCCUUUGAAAGUUUUUAUUACACCUUUUCUACAUUUGUUCUAAAACUUAUACAUCACCCUUAAUUGUACCAUGAGAACCUAGCAUUUUUUUUUUUUUUUUUGUAUUUCAUCAAAGUUAGCUCUUGUACUCAUUGUUGUAUUAUUUUUAUUGUAACUUAGAGAGCGAGUGUUUUCAAGUGAGUGAAAUUGACUUGUAAAUAUUGUAAAGAUUCAUUGAUAUGUAUCUCAAACUAGGUGUACAAGUUGAAACAUUUGCUAGUAGAUUUUCUCAAGAUUUAGAAUGAGCUUAAGGCUAUCGAAUUAGGUGGGGUUGCGCCAAACCAUAUCACAUCGUUGUUUGCACCUUUUUUUUCACUCUCUUUUACUUAGUUGCUCUAUAUAUAUUGUCUAGCAAUAUCCUAAAGGCUUGAUGGGCUAGGGAGCAUCCCUCUGAAUGAAAAAUUUUCAUUCAAUUCUUAGUUGUAUUACGCAUAUAUAAAAUGCCUCAUUGUUUUAAUGGUAUUCAGUCGUGGCACCACAGAUAUGGACAUCUAAAUUUUAAAAGUUUGAAACUUUUAGCUAAAGAAAAUAUGGUGCUUUGCCUUUUUGGAAAGCAUGUUGAUGAAAUCCAUGAGAAUUGUAUACUUGGAGAGCAACAUCGAGAUAACUUUUUUUUUUUCUUUUUUUAUAAUGCAUUGUUUGUCCAAAUUCCGUACAAAUUAGGCCACCACAUGUUCAUAAUUCUCCCUUCUUGAAUUUGAAAACUCGGACAAUUUGACAAUGCGACACCUAAGUCCGGUUUUUAAAUGCUAAAGUGAAAGGGCAGGUAUGGACCAUUGAAAUGUGAUAACAACUUUUGGCCUUUUCCUUUUCUCUGUAGCCAUGUUGUCUCUUUUUAAUUUCUUUUGCAUGAUUUUCUUACCUAAACAGAAUCAUAGACUUGUUUAAUCUCUAAGUGGGAUUUCAUCCACCUUAAGCUACUGUAUUAUAUCUCGGUGGAGGACAACCGACAUAGAGCACAUGCAAGUGGGUAUAUGGGACAUGAAAUAUCUUCUUAUAAAGCUUGUUUUGCAGUUAAAUUAAUUGGAUAAGUAGACACUGGCGUUUCUAAAUUUCCCACCUAAGAUAAUGACCUUAUCCUUGACUGCUAGAUACACAAACAAUUAUACCUUCAAAAUCUACUGUGAAGUGCUUCAUGUAUGUGUGAAGUAUUAGAAAUUUCUUUCUUGGCAACUUGUUUUUUUCUUUGCGGUCUACUGAUAGGUUUGACUAAAAUUAUAUUCCCUGUCCUGCUAAUUAAUUUUCACGUGCAUGCUCAAAAGAAGAGUAUGACCUUAGUGCACCAAAAUCACUUUCAAUAAUUUGUGAUAAGUUUUUUUGCAUGACAUUAACCUUAUUCAUUUAGAUAAUGUUUAGUUCUCAUAAAUAUUAAGAAAAUGAAAAUAAAUAUUAAGAAAAAUAUUCUUAUAUUUGAUUGUAUUAUGAAAAAUAUCAUAAAAAAUCAAAUAUAAUUAAAAUUAAUUAAUAAUUUAUAUAUUUUAAAAUUAUUUAAUUUUUAUAUUAAAGAUAUAAUAUAAAUGAAAUGAGUUUUAAGUAUUAUAUAAAAAUGAUUUAUUUAUUUAUUUAUAUAUAUAUAUAUAUAUAUAUUUAGUUUUUCUCUUUAUUUUAUUUUCCUUAUGUUUUCCUCACAUUUUCCGGAAUCAAAGAUAGGGAAAUCCACAAUUACCUUCAACUGAGUAGAUUCUAUUGUUUUAGCAAUGUUAGGCUGCUAACUUGUGGUGGUACGAACCAAAUGAUCCAUGUUAAUCUUGGCUUGAUUUAAUUUGGCUCUAUCUCAGAGAACUCAAGGAUCACGUCAACUCUGGUUUCUACUAUUCAGGUCCAUUCCCAGAUGAACUGGUUCAAAUUUGAGAAAAUGGUAACAGACCUUUAGUGAUAUUGGUUUGGAGCCAGUUGCCAAACCUGCCCUGAGCUUUACCACUAAUGUCAAGGGACAAAGCCAUUUGAACAAAAACAAUAGCUUCAAGAGACUGAAUCGUGGAUGAAAUCUGAUCCACAUUUCUUCUCAUUUUGGGAAAAAAUGAGGACUUAACCACAAAGAUUCUACUGCCUCAUAGUGCUUUUCCUGAUCUAAGGUUGGCUCGUUUCCCAAAUUGUGAGGUGCACGUGCCACUCUCACGCUCAGGAGUGUAUCCACGUGGUGGACAUAAGAUGGUGGCUUAAUAUCUGGUGUCGGUGGCUUUACUUUACUAGGAGAGUAGUGUGUCUUCAUCUCAUUCACUGCCAGAGGGUGGCGUAAGCAGUGACGCUAAGGUGGGGCACAGUCAAUAUCAUUUGCAUUUGACCAUUAUAAUUUUCUCCCGGCUUUAAAGUAACCUUAUCGUGAUAAUGGAUUACUAGCACUAGUUCAGAUGACAGUCAUGUUAAAUUCGGACCAUGUUUGUGUCACAUUAUCAGCAACCAUGUGCUUGUGGUUCAUGCUAUCUGCAACUAAACUUGAUAUAUAACCAGGUGAACUUCAAUCUAAAUUCUGGAAGUACUCAUGUGAUAGAUGGUGCCUGUCUGCAGUGAGUGUAUCUAUAAGAGGGAAGGCUUGGCAAAUGUUCAGUUUUCUGGGAAUUCAACAGGGAUCUAAAAUAGAUUGUUUUCUUUGCUGAUUUCAAUGGUUGAAAUUUGAGAAGAUUGUGUCCACAUAACACAACUAUUACUGGUCCUUCUGUUGCAAUUUAUCCUCUAAGGCUCUAACAUGUCUUCCAAUUCCCACUUCCCACUUCCCUGUUACUCCAGGAAAGCUGUUUCUGUCAUUGUGAAGAAGAAAAGAGACUGUACAUAUCGAUGCUUUUAAGUGGACUGGAGAAUUCAUAUCAGGUGGUCUGCAGCCAUACAUGCCACUUUGUGAAGGUUGGAACAGUCAAUCACUAGGCUAUAUUAGUGGGGCCCAGCCACUUCAAUCAAGGACAAGUCUUCAUACUUAAAGUCAAAUUCUGCCUUUAGUCUCAUUAUAAAUUGCUGUUUAAAUAUCAAGCAAACAUUUGUUUAAUGCGAUUAAGACAGCACUAACUCAAUACUUGUUCUAUUUUUGGAUGCAAAUGCUUGAUAGUUUCAUCAUUGGAGGGGAUAAAGGUGCAUUCAUGAUUAUGAAUACUUGUAGUUAUAUUUUCAUUCUCUUUUUUCUCAAUGGGACUUGUUGGCACAAUUUUGCUGUUCAGAAACCUACCUCUCCAUGGAAAAUCAGUUGUGAUUGAUAUUACUGGAUAUAUUCAAGAAAGCUAAAUGUAGAUAGCACAAAAUAUUAUCGACAUAAAUAGCAUUAACAGCGUACGUAUGUCUCAAUGCUCAUCAGCUAUAAGCAAGGGGCAAACACUUACUAUGAGCAACUUACGUCAAAAUUCCGGAAUAGGACAUAGAAGUGACAGGUCAGUAAAUAUAGAACACUGCAUAUGAGUCACAAGAAAGGAAAUUACGGGUACAUAGCAGCUCUUAUUUUACAUCCUACUCAUACUGAUCAAAGUCACUCAGUUGGGAUGGGUGGGAGUGGGAGGUUUGUGGGGUGGCUUGUGCGGAGGAGUUGGCAGCUUCUUUCCAGGACCUGGUUGCUUCUCUGCUGGAGUUGAAGGAGGCUUAAUCUUCCGAGGUGGCUUGUAUGAGUCUUCAGCAUUCUCAGCAGGAGGGUGACCAGGGUUGUGACCACAAUGUGGUGGCUUCUCUCCCUUAGGUGGUUUGCCAACUGGGGUUGGUGGCUUGUGUUCCGGAAGUGGCUUCUCUUUGUGUUCAGGAGGUGGCUUCUCCACUGGAGGCUUGUGUUCAGGAGGUGGCUUCUCCACCGGAGGCUUGUGUUCAGGAGGUGGCUUCUCCACCGGAGGCUUGUGUUCAGGAGGUGGCUUCUCCACCGGAGGCUUAUGCUCUGGUGGUGGCUUCUCCACCGGAGGCUUAUGCUCUGGUGGUGGCUUCUCCACCGGAGGCUUAUGCAAUGGUGGUGGCUUCUCCACCGGAGGCUUGUGUUCAGGAGGUGGCUUCUCUACCGGAGGCUUAUGCUCUGGUGGUGGCUUCUCCACCGGAGGCUUAUGCUCUGGUGGUGGCUUCUCCACCGGAGGCUUGUGUUCAGGAGGUGGCUUCUCCACCGGAGGCUUGUGUUCAGGAGGUGGCUUCUCCACCGGAGGCUUGUGCUCUGGUGGUGGCUUCUCCACCGGAGGCUUAUGCUCUGGUGGUGGCUUCUCCACCGGAGGCUUGUGUUCAGGAGGUGGCUUCUCCACCGGAGGCUUAUGCUCUGGUGGUGGCUUCUCCACCGGAGGCUUGUGUUCAGGAGGUGGCUUCUCCACCGGAGGCUUAUGCUCUGGUGGUGGCUUCUCCACAGGAGGCUUGUGUUCAGGAGGUGGCUUCUCCACCGGAGGCUUAUGCUCUGGUGGUGGCUUCUCGAAUGGGGGAUGCGUAGGGUAAUCAGCUAGUGAGGGGGCGGUGAGAACCACCAGGCCAAGCAACACUACUAGCAAGUAUGUAGGAGACAUCUUUGGGUUUGGGCUCAGAUGGUGCAAAACUAGGAGAAUUGGCUAGCCUUUUAUAGCGGAUCGUACCCAAUAAUGAAAUGACACGUGUCAUUAUGACCCAUGUGUCAUGUGGUCGAUUUGGGUCCUACAGUGUUGAAAACUUCGACAUCCACUUUUUUGGCCUUUUGCUUUCUCUACAGUCGCCUUGCUUUUUCCCUCUUUUCUUUUGUUUUCCUCCUGCCCCAUUCUAUCAACUAAUCACAAUUAUGUAGUUGUUUAAUUCUUAAAUGAGAUAUUAUCCGUCAAUCAUAUUAUCUUUUAUCAAGAGAGAACGGAGUGAAAAGUGGCAAUCCAAAGAAAGAAGAUCCAUAAUGCAGCUGUAAUUUUAUCGUUUACUUUUAUCUCUAGGACCACUGCAUUUUUGUUGAGAGGUGCAAUAAUACACGUCUUUAUCUGCCAUUCAAUGUUUACAGUAAAGAGAGGGCACAAAACUCUUCACUGCUCUGCAUGUGCCCCAAAAAUGCAAUUGGACAAAUUAUGAUUUGCAUGCUAAAAAGAGGCAAAUGAGGUUAAUUAGCACCAAAAUUAUUUUGUUUUCUGGACACCCCGGGGCCCUUUGGUUGGUUUGGGGGUCAGAAAAUGAACAUCAUAGGGGGUUUUUCCCUAAUGUGCAUUUGCAUUUGUAUCUGAUGGCUUUAACUCGCCUUGUUACUACAAAGAAAUUGUCACAGAUAGGAACUUAUUCCAGGCUGAGUAUCUCCGCAUGGACCCUAUAAAAGAAGACAAGUCAUAAUGAACAUCUAACCUUUGUUCAAUUUGAUUCAAUGCCCCUAUUGUGUCCAUCUCACAAAUCUGAAUUAUUAUAUCCAUUGAAUACAUAAAUUAAUGAAGAAAAUAUGAAACCCAAGAUACAUCUCUGCACAACCUCAACCCUGGUUGCUAUGUUUCACUUCUAUUCACAUGAGGAUAUUGAUUACGGAAUAAGGAAACCUAGCAAGGGUUUACUCGGCUCUGGUUUGAUGCUAAUUGCCAAACUUGCAACAAGCCCUGAGUUUGACACCUAAUCGAUGGGCGAAUUAAAAGUCUCCUCCAAACAUAUAUUCCACAGCUUGAAGCUCACAGAAGAUGCUAUACAGGCAGGGAAAAACCUUCAGAGUUAGCUACCAAAGAUAAUUAUCAAGGAGAUAUCACCAAGAGAAUUCCAUGGAGUCUGAAUCAAAGACAAAUUGCUCGCUCGUGGGGGUUCUUACUUAAUUUCUUUUGGGUAUAACUCACUGAGGGCACUGGCUUUGUUAUUUGCAUUUCGCAUUUAGAGUUCUGUUCUGGAAGGUUUGUUCUGGAAACAUAUAAAAGGAGCAUCAUUUUGUUCUAGGGUAACCCAUAGUUGUGAGUGGGUCCAUUUGCAUGCUACUUAGUUGAAAAGUUGGACAAUUUGCUCCGACGCCUACCUCCUGGAUUCCAUGCUCGGAUAAAGCAAGAAUAAUAAAAUAUUUAUAAUUUACAAAUGGGGGAAAGAAAAAAAUGUCAACAACAAACUAGGAAAAAAGAGUAGUAAAAUUUAUGCCACAUGCUAUUGAUAGAAGGGGCAUGUAUUAGAUCCAUCACCAUUUGGUAAGAUUUUAGUAUUAUAUUUUUCAAGGUUCAUUAUUUGAGGGUGUGUUCUUCAUCUCUGUUGCAUUGCUUCUUACUAGGCCCACUGAGGUGGGUUCUUCACCUUUUGUAUAUUCUCUGCACUAGAUCAAUGAGAAAGGGGGAAUUUUGGUGAAUUUGCAGCCGUUGGAUGAUUGAUUCUAGGCUCAGUCCACCAAUGAUGCUCUCUUCACUCUUUCUCAUCUAGUGUCAUUCACAACUAUGUUUUGAUUCAUAUUUGUACUAUCAAAGAUAUCUCAUUAUUCUAGCUCAUUAGGUAGAGUUCCUAAUCUUCCUCCUUUUUGGUCUAUGGACAGUAUUGGCUUCAUAUUAAGAUCAUGUUUCAAUAAUUGCACAUUAAUGAAUGGAUCAUGACCCACAUAAACAGAGUCAGGGUUGAGUCAGUGAACCCUAAAAUUUCACAAUUCUAAAUUUGGGUUCUUUAACAAUGCAGGGUCAAGGACGCGUGGUGAUGAAGGAAAGCUGGUAAGCUCAGUGUUACUUCAAUUCCUGCCAUGUAGGAUGGUGAGGAGAUAUUCACUAUGCAAUUAAUAAUAGACAAUAUUCACUAUGCAAUAAUAAAGCAUAAAUUAAGUUGAAUGAAAAGCAUUUUCUUUGCAAGGAGUUGAUUUUGGUUUCAUAGUUUGUUCAACUGCUAUUUUGGAUAGGAAAGUGUGAGGAGAAGAAAAUAAAAAAUAAAAAUAAAACAAAAAAUAAAAAAUAGAUUUUAUAAAUUCAUUUAAUUUAUUUUUUUUUUAUAAAAAUUAACUAAUUUAAAAUAUAUGUAAAUUUCUAAUUAAUUUAAUUACAUUUUUUUUUUCAGUUUUUCAUAAUAAACCAAAUAUUAGAAAAUUAUUUUUAUUAAGACACCCAAGAUGAGGUAAUAUGCAAUGAAAACAUGAAUUAUAUUAAAAUUCAAAACAAAUUAAGAGAAAUCGGAAAAUAUACAUAGAUAUCUAAACAAAGAAAUUUAAAGAGAAGGAACCACAAACUUUAUUUACAUAAUUUGAAAAUAAAAAACAUAAAACAUACUUAUAGUAAGGAGAAAUUGAAUAUCUUACAAUGGAAGAAGGGAGAAAAGCUUUGAAGAAAGCUUUUGCUUGGAAGCUUACAUGGUGAGAGGUAGAGAAAGGAGAGAGAGAGAAGAAAAUGAAAAAUGAGAAGUGGAGAAAAUUGGAAGUUUUGUGUGCUUACAACUGAGGAUAGAGCCUCCUUAAAUAGCAAAAAAUGGAAUAUUAAAUAGUACCAAUCAGGAGACAAAAUAUUGUUUGCUUUUGAAACCCGUGCAUGAAUAGUAAUCCCGUGAGUGAAUAGUGAAUAAUAAAAGUGAAUAGUAAAAGUCACUUUCUACUAUAGCACUUUAGACUUUUUCAUCGAGAAUCUUACUUUCGGCUGAGUGAUGAUAGCUGAUAGGUUGCUUUGGAUUGUGGAGUCAUAUGUUUGAUGUUUUCGGUGCUGAAACCGCUUAGUUGGAGAAUAAUCUCGUCAGUAGAGCAUCAUGAGAAGCUUGAAUGGAGAGAGCUUAAUGAUGCCAUAUGAUUGGAAGGAAUCCUAUUUUAAUUUCCUUAUUGGAGGGAGAAUACCCUCACAAUCAUCUUCAUUAUCUUGAAGGUAGUUUGAUAUAGAGUCAUCUGACUCAGCAUAAGAGUCCUCUUGGGAGAAGCUUGAACUGCUUUUGUCAAGGAUUUUCUGAAAUUCUUGAGGGGUUUUUGCUAUUGCUAACAUGGUUUGGAGUUGCUGUUUCUUAAGAAGAAACUGUGCAAUAUCAUAAGAUGAUGAAGCUUGUGUAGGAUGCUUUAGGAAAUAUUGCUUUAUUGCUUGUAGUGAGGUAUCAUUUUUCAAGGCAUCCCACCACUUAGACUUGAAAGUCCUUCCAAGGGUUGGAAAGGCUGCUGAUUCAUCUGCUAUAAUGAUAUAAUCCCACUGGACUAUCCAGGCAAGGCCAAAUUCACUAAAAAAGAAUAAUAAUUGGGGAAAACUGAAAGUUCUCUAGGGAUAACAAAAGAACUUUGGAAUAGCUCAAAGCCAUCCAAAAUGGGUUUUGGGAGAAUUUUAAUAGUUGGACCAAAAUAUGUCCACCAAUUGUGGAACCAAAAUGGAAAAGAGGGGAGUUGAUGCUUAGAUGGGAAAUAGAACAUCCCUGAAUGAUGGAAGUCCUUGUUCUGGAUCAGAAAAGCAUUGAACCAUACUCUUUGGUAGUCUCAAUAAUUGAAAAUUUUAGGUUUUGAAGGCUUAGAAAAUUCUCUUGAAAAAUUAGGAUUCCCACCCCACUGCUUAACUGUAAGGAUUUUAUAAAUAUGGUAAGUGGAGAAUGCCAAAUCCAAAUUGCUGAAUUUAUCAGCAUUGUGCUUGAUUUUAACAGAGCCGGUUUCCAUAAGGAUUGCUUCAUAAAAUUCUCUUGUUUUUAAAAGAUCACCAAAGGGAUAAUGAAAAUUUUCAUGAAAAGCUUUUGCUGCAAUAUCUCUAGGGUUUUUAGAGAAAAACUCUUUUUCAAUAACCAAAAGAGGUUGAUUUAAAUCUUUUUGCCAAUAUCUUGCUUUUGCUGAAAGAGGUGUGGGGUUGGCUACCACCACAAUUUGCUUAUUUGAAAAAGAAGAGCUUGAUGCUAAUUCAUUUUGAGAGGGAUUAGCUUUAGUAACCUGCUUAAAGGUCUGAGACACAGUAAUAGUUGGAUACUGAGUAGCCUUGACUGGUUUAGAAGGAUUCGAAGGAUCAUAGUACAAGGACAAAAUCUUAUUAGGCAUAUGGUCAGAAGAAUGAAGCCUUGCUUCUUCUUCUAGCUCAACUUGUUGGCUCCAAAGUAUUUUAUGGGGAGAAGGUUCUUUGCUGGUUUUAGAAGACUAGGAUUCUGGAAGUUUAGGAGCUUGGGUAUUCUUUUUAGGGGCCAUGGUUUCGUGAAUCCUGUAAAAUUCACAAGUUAAGAAAUCAGGGCUCGAAGAAUGUUCUCCUUUAAUAUACUCAAUUUGUAAAUUAAAAUUGCUUAAAAUAGCUUGAUAUAUAGCAAAAAUAUGCUUAGAAGUUAUAUUCUUAACAUCCUUUUGUAAAACUAAUUUUGCAAAUUUACAAUCAACUCUUAAUAAAAACUUUUGAUUCAAAAGAUCAUCUUGAAAUUUUGAAAUGCAUAAAACAACGCUUAAAGUCUCUUUUUUAAUGAUGUUAUGAAUGAGUUGGGUAGUAUUCCAGGUUCUUGAAGUAUACCUAACUAACAUCUCAAGGUUACCAACACUUUGCUUAAGAAUCCCACCAUAACCUAUGUCUGAGGUAUCGAUCCCAACAAACUCAAAGGUUUCUGGAUUGAUAGAGCCUAAACAUGGUAGGGUCUUGACUUUGGACUUAACAUCAAUAAUGAAAACAAUGGUGAAAACAGAAAACUGGUUAAAGUUUUCAUCCAUUAUAUUCUGGAAUUCUGAGGUGCAUUCUUAAGAUCAAAGGGCAUUAUGAACCAUUCAUAAUGUCCAAGAGAUACCACAAAGGUGGUCUUAUUUGGAAUAGGACACCUAAUCCAACUUAAUGUAUCAUUAAGAGGCAUGUAGUUGACGACUAGUCUAGGUGUUCCUUUUUCUGAUUCAACUUGUUCCUGAACAUAGAAGGUUGAACAACUCCAAAGGGACUUAGACUUCCUUAUCAACUUUUUAUCAAGAAGAUCCCAAAUCUCCUUAUCACAAUAGCUUAACAAACCCUUGUUCAUCUGGAUAGGUCUUGAUUUAGUGGGAAUAUUCUUGUCACUAAAGUCUAGUUCAUAAGGUAAUUCUACCUCAUGUUGUUUCCUAUGCCAAAAUGCAUUAGGAAUGUUAGAGCAAACUUCUUCAACAAUCAGAUUAAUUUCUUGCUCAUGACUUUCCUUAGCUUGAAUCACCUGAUCCCUUAAGGUGUUUAUAUUUUUCUUAUUAGGUGGUUGGCAAAUUCAAAAAUAAUUUCCUUAUCUAAGAGCUUUGUUCUUAUACUUUGGUCAUCUACCCACAUGGGAUAGAUGGAGCUUAAAAAGGGGAUUCCAAGGAGAGCUUUCUCCUUAAGAUCCUUAACUAGAAUGAAGGUUUGCUUGAUGCAAAUGCCUUGGUUAUUUAUGUGAGCAUCUGACAGCUUAUACUCAAUGUCAAGCCUUUUACCAUUAGCUCCAAAGAGAGAUUCUUUGGUUUUCUUACAAAACUUAAUAGGACCUAGACCUUCUUGUAGGCAAUUCAAAGCUGUUCCUGAAUCAAUCAAAGCAACAAUAUCAAUGACAAAUUUACUCUUAAUUACUAUAGUAAGGGAGACUUUCCACCUCUGGAAAAUAACCCUACUAACAGUAUUUAAGUAUCCAUCCGUCUUUUCAUCAUUAGCAUGUGAAGAUUCUAGAACCUCUUCAAGGUUUUCCUAGUUAUCAACAAGAUUUUCUAUAACAAUCCUAUUUAUUUGUUCUUGGAGAUCUGAAAAACCUAAGCUUGUGUAUUGUCUUAAAUCUUUAAUUUCCUUCUUAUACUGUCUUACUUCUUCUUGAAGAUCCUUAAUGGUUACGUCUUUGGUAGACUACUGGUUAAAUCUUCCUAAGAUUUCAUUUAAGUUAUAAGAAUUUACUGUCUUCUUAAUCUCUUGCUUAUCGACAAAUUUCUUAAAAACUUCAUAAAGAUCUUGUUUAGUUUUUUCAUCUUCAACUUUCCUUAAAACAUCUAGGACAAGUUCUUGAUCUUGGCUUAUGACAUUUAUAGUCUUAGGUUGGCAAUCACAAUUAUCCUUAAUGUAUUCUUCUUGGUCACUAGAAGUUUGGCUUGAGAUUUCCUCACCACUACUAUCUAGUUGGUUAAUACCAUUUUCAUUAUCUGAAUCAAUCCUUGAUUCAGACUCUGUGGAAUUUAACAUUACUUUACAAAGCAUAUCUUUUAAGUCUUCUGUGACAUUUAAGUUAUUAAUUUUCUGCUUAACCCUACAAUCUUUCUUAUAGUGGCCUAUCUUACCACACUUAAAACAAACUGGCUUAGAUUGUGAAGGAGCUUCUAGCUUUUUAUGGGCUUCUUUGUUCAUCAUUCUUUGGAUGUGCCUUUGUUUCUUAGUUUCAUUCAUCCUAUAGUUGCCAUGAGUUCCUCUCUUGUUGUGAUAGGACUUUUCCUUACUAGGCUUUGUACUUACUUGUUUCUUACGUUGCUUAGAGGGGGGCUUAGUUUCUUUUUGGUUGAAUCCAAACUAGCUACAAAAUGAACCAAACUCAUUCUUGUAGAUCCUUUGUUCAUUUUUCAUCUGUUGCUUAAGCUUAAAGUCAUUGCACAGUUUAAUUGCUUCUGAUGUGACAAUGCUUAUAAUUUCUCCAUAAGAAAGCUUAUCAUAAGGGAUUUGUCCAUUAAACUGUUCCCUUAUCUUAAUCCUAAUCCUCUCAGAGAAAAGUCUAGGUAGUCCUAAGAUGAAUUUUUCUUUCCAAAAAGACUGGUUAUAGUUUGAUCUUAGUAUGACUUUGGUUAGGAAAACUUCUCUAUACCAUCUAAAGUCAUGAAGCUUGGGACACUUAAGGUUGGUUAAGAGAUCUACAAUCUUAUCCUUAAUCUUUGCAGGAUCUCCAAUGAAGUGCUUUGAAAUUGAAUAGAUUAGAGUAGCCACUACAUCCUCUAUAUCUUGUCCAUCUUCAUCCUUAACCACUUCAUUUUCCUCAUUAAUCCUAUAGGCUUUUAGGAUACCAUUUCUAUCCUCAAAGGUGAGAUAAUUAUCCCACCAACCCUAAAGUUGACCUGUAAACCCAACAACAAUUGUUUGAGCUACAGCAUGGCCUGACAAUCUAUUGUUUAACUUAUAGGUUGUACUAACCAUGGUCAUUUCUUGAAGCUUAGUGAGUAUGUUGUACUCAAUCAUACCAUCUAUGUUCCAUUCAUAGAUAGUGUCACUAGUGUAGGAAGCUUGAGUAUGCUGGUUUCUUUCCUCAUACUACAUAUCAGGAAAAGUUGGUCUAGGGUAGUAAUUCCUAGUUCUUGGUUGUUGAUAAUCCUCAUAACUGUUUGGUUAGGAGGUUCCUUAAAAAUCUUAAUUAGUUCAUCAGCCUCUGCUUCAGAACUAAUUUCUCCUUUAACCAUAUUGAUUCUCUUGUGAGAUGGUUGAGGUGUCUCAGAGACAACAAGGCUAUCCUUAACCUUUUGGCUUAUCCUAUCAAUGAGGGCUUGAUCAAUAUGGAGAUUCUCUAGGAAUUUCUUAGAGAAUUCAAAAGGCUUAAAUAAAGACUUAUUAUCUUUCUUAACAAACGUAGUCUUAAUGUAGUCUUGUGUUUCAAUGAUAUCCUCAAACUUGUUGAGUUGAUCGCCUGUAGUCUUAAGAAACAUGUUAGUGUAGUUGUUUUGUUCCAUGAUUCUUCUAACGUCAACAACACUAUCAAUUCCUUUAUUCUUUGGCCUAGUCUUAAAAGGUGAAGCUUUGACUAUGGUUCAAUUAAUGUUCUUUUAUAUCUUAGCUUCUAGAGGGUGGAUGGAUUCUAUGAUAGUAUCGUCACUAGUUUUCCAUAUCUUAGUUUUUUUGGAUGUGUCAUUGACACGCUUACUAGGGUAAUCUAGAUAUUCCUCUUGUUUGAAGAGUUCAAACCAGAUCCAAUACUUAAUGUUCUUCUUUUCUUGUCUUAAGUAUGUGUAGAAUUCUUCUUGGUAGAGGGUUCUAAUGUCUUUAAGGACCUUGCUAAAGAACCAAACUCUCCUUUUCUUAUUGACUUCAGAAUAGAAGUCUUUCCUUAAGAGGUCCUUGUUGAUUCAAAGUCUUCGUUAAUUAGGCUUACAGUGUUAAUCAACUGAGAAUAAGUAGGAGACAUAUCAGGAGAUUCGUCCUGAUGUGAUUCUUGAGUAAACUCAUUUUCCUCCAUGUAAAAGGGUUUGGCCACGUUGGUGUGACUUCUAACACCUGUUAGCUUAAUAUUCUUAGGAUUUGCUGAACUAGAUCCUUCCUCUAUCCUAGUGGUUCUUAUUGGGAUAGAUGAACUUGAAGCUCUAGAGGGCUCAUAAUAUGAAAUUCUAAGGCUGCUAGAAUGAUGAAAAGAGUUGGAGAAAAUUAGAUCUCGUUCUCCAUCAGGAUAUUGAACAAUCUGUUCAAUUCUUUCAGAUCUUUGCUCUAUGGCUGGGACAACAUUAGCAAAAUGCCAAUUUUCUGGAAACUCAACCUCAUUCCACUUGAUUUUCAUGGGGACUAUGAAAUUAGACUUGUUUAUCAUAUCUAAGUGGAAGAUAGUGGUUUCACCCUUGGGACUGGUGCACAAUGCUCCAAAUCCAACGCUUAUGGUCAUGCUCUUAUAGGCAAAUCUGGUGAUGAUGGAAACAUGAUUGUUUCCUUGCUUGAACUUAAAGUCAUGGGUCUUAACAUGAAGGACAACUGAAUCUAAGAUGUUGACAUCUCUUAGUCUAACUGUGAAGUUAGGGAAACACUGGAAAUAAACAGGACCAUCAUUUAAUCCUGCUUGGGUAGCUCCAAUAAUAGAAUCUCGGUAAUCAAGAUGUCUAUUAUCUCUUAAACACAUGACAAUAAAGGUGUUUAGACCUAGUCUUGUCAAGGGCUUAGCUGCAACUUGAAUCAUGCCAAAGUGUAUGAAGUUGUAGUCUCGCUUAUGCUUAUCAAUGGACUUACUAUCCAAGAGUCUUAUGACUUGAUCGUCGUGUUCUAAACUUACUGACAUUUCAGGGGUUUUAAUGGUGUAAUCUGUAAAGAACUUAAAGGUUCCUUUCUUAUAAAUUUCUUGAUUAGGUACCUUGGGUAACUUCCAAUCAUCUAAAUCAUCUUGGAUCUUAGGAUAAUUGAUCUCUUCAUUGUUUACUCUUGAGAAUUUGUGGAUUUCCUAGACAUGGUUCUGAAAAUCAAACUCAUUUUAAGGUUUUAAUCUAGAGCCUAAUAGCAGAUUAACAGACC